Molecule: long non-coding RNA, 82136 nt
Filed under: Fragaria vesca (wild strawberry)
Lineage: Eukaryota; Viridiplantae; Streptophyta; Magnoliopsida; Rosales; Rosaceae
Description: long non-coding RNA (FVES_LNC002040)
Rfam family: tRNA (bases 59969-60041)
Source: RNAcentral
AACACAAUCUGCUAGUCAACCAUGGCAACCCAGAUCAUUAACUUUGAGUGCCUUAUAUAAUAGAACUAACUAGGUUAAUGGAUGGGUGGUUGAAGCACAAAAGUGGAAAAUUGCAUAGAAAAUUUUGAAAAUAACAGUGAAGUAGAGGAGCACUAGUGUCUUCCUCCUCGGAAGCUAAACCUAUUUGUCUCUGCACCCCGUUGUUAAGCACUACUCCUUACCCCACCACCCCUCACGGGCUCCAUUUCUCACCAAAAUAACCAGUAUUUUUCAAUGCCAAGAGGAAGAAGAAGAAGAAGACCGUUGGGGAGAAAAAAUAUGAAGAUAAUUUAAAAAUGAGGACAAUUAUAAAGAGUAGAAAAGAAGAUCAAUGAGCCUGUCAUGUCGCUGUUCUUCUUUUCAUUGCUGCCUCUCUCUCUCUCUCACCAGUAGUUAACGUAGAAUCACAUCACCACAGAGCUCAGAGUACUUCCUUUCUUUUUUUUUCUCUUGUUUUUCUCCUUCUUCUCAGAAUUAAAUAUAUUACACAGAAGAGUUCAGGCCUCGAGAAGAAGUGACGAGAGACCCAUGUGCUUCUCCUUUGUUUGCUUUUGAGGCAUCAUCGACUUGUACUUCAAGACUUUAAGCCUACACUUCUCUACCCAAAAAAAAAAACCUACCAUUUACUUGUACAAAACCCACAUACAAUCCGGUAAUAGAAGCAACCCUUUAGUUAUCCCUUUCUUCUUAUUUUAUAGCUGAGACACAGAGAGAGAGAGACAGAGAGACACAGAGAAAGACGAUAAAGGAGAAAUUGAGUAGUGUUCCAUUUCAUCCACACUCCAAAGAGCUUUGAAGAAAUGACUAAAGAUGAAGACUUUAAGCUCCUCAAGAUCCAGGUAUUUCAUGUUUCUCUUAACCCACAUUCUUUCUUUUAGGCUCUUGUAUUUGUUUAUAGGUUCUUUCUUUACAUAGAGCAAAGUUGGAUGUUGGUCUUUUCCUGGAGAAUCUUUGUUCUAGUUUUUGUUGUUUCUUCUGACGUUUGUUUCUCUUCUUUUCUGUUCACAGACUUGUUAUCUCAAAGUGAACAUACACUGUGAUGGGUGUAAGCAGAAAGUGAAGAAACUGCUUCAGAGAAUUGAAGGUGCUCACUUUCUUCUCCUUUCUAAUUGCUGAAUAACUUGCUGCCACCUUGCUAUGCUCCCUAUUAAUCUGUUGCCAUCAUUGUAGGAUUUUGUAGAAGUAUGCAAAGUAAAAUCAAAUGAAAGUUGAUGACUUUUAUCAAAAUGGAUUUCUUGUAAAAUCAGAACAGGACACAAACACUCUAACUGGUCUAGUCUUGUUCCUUACUGAAAUUGUUAUCAUCAAGAGGAUUUAUACUUUUCAUAUACUUCUCUGGAAGGUUAUAUUAUGCUUUGCUCUUGAUGUAUGUGUAUGAUCUUCCUGAGUUUUUCAUCGCCGUCUCCAAAGAAAUUGACCCUAAUUGGCAGUUCUGUUACUUUUUUAUCCUUAGACUUGGACAGUUUUCCCUUUUAGAAAAUGUUGAACUUUCUAGGCAAAUUUUUUGUUCUCUAAGUAUCAUUUCUUGUAAUUUCAUACCCAUUCCUCUAAAAAGUUGGACCCUUCUGUGCAUUUCUAAUCGAGUGUUGUUCCUUUGUUUCCAACAAUCUCGUACAGGUGUUUAUGAAGUCAGCAUAGAUGCUGAUCAGCAGAAAGUCACAGUUUCAGGGGUUAUAGACUCUGCCAAUUUGAUAAAGAAAUUGGUUAGAGCUGGGAAACAUGCUGAGCUUUGGAACCAGCAGAAGGCCAAUCAGAACCAAAACCAGAAGCAAAAGAACAACAUCUGCAUCAAGGACAACAAAGGCCAAAAGCAGCAAGGGGGCAUGAUAAAGGGACUUGAAGCCUUCAAAAACCAGCAGCCGCAGCAGAAGUUUCCCCAUUUCUUCACUGAAGAGGAUAUUAAUGACUUAUUGGAAGAUGAGGAGGAGGAUGAGAAGGAUGAGUUGAGGCUUCUGAUGAGGCAGAAAGUAAACCAGCUCAGGCAUCAAUCUAUUGAUGUAAACAACAAUGGAAGGAAAGGUGCUGCUGCUGCAGCUAACCCAAACAAUAGUGUCAAGAUCACAAACAAUCACAAUGCUGGGAAGAAGGGAGUGCAGCACCAAAAUCAGAAUGUGCAGGGCAUGAAGGUGAUUAAUCCAGGUGGGAUUGAUCCCAAAACCAUGGCAGCACUGAACAUGAGCAACAUUGCUCAAUUGGGUGCCCAAUUGGGUGGCGAAGCCAAGAGGGGGAAUAACAAUGACUUGAGCACCAUGAUGAAUUUGGCUGGUUUUCAUGGCAAUGGCGCUACAAAUGCUGCUUCUGCCGCCGGUUUAGGUGGCAAUGUGGCCCAUGCCAAUAGUCUAGCAGCAUUCCAACAAGCGCUUCAAUCUCAGCAAUCUCAAGCUGGAGGCAGUGCAUAUCAGGCUCAAUCAGCUUCUGGAGGGUUUCCUAGUGGAGGUUAUGCCACUGGCCAAUAUCCGCAGACUAUGAUGAUGAAUACAAAUGGCUACGGGCAUCCAUCACAGAUGAUGAACAUGAAUAUGCAGCAGGCGAGGCAACAAGCAAUACAGCAGCAGCAACCUCAGAUGAUGUAUCACAGGUCUCCAUACAUUCCUCCUAGUACUACUGGUUACUACCCCAACUAUGGUCCCAUUCCUAGUUCUGCUCCAUAUCCUUACACUGCCGAGCCUAAUUACGGUGGUGAUGAUGGCAACAAUGCAGCUCAUAUGUUCAAUGAUGAGAACACCAGCAGCUGUUCUAUAAUGUGAUUCUAAUUAUGUAGAAAUGAAUGUUUGCAGAGAAUGGUGUUUACUCAUUCGCUGCCAGUGGAUGUUUAGUUGCUUUUGACAGUAUGUGGAAGACAUGAAUCAGGACUAAUAGUAGUACUAGUUGUUGGAGUGAGUCUCAUCACUUAUCAGUGUAAUAUUAUUGUGUAGUUGUUGACACUAUGUUCCCUAAUUAUUUAUGUCAAUUCCUCUAGUUUGUUUAUCUUUCAACGUGUUUAGCAUUUUUUUUCUAUCUUUGGUUUUGCUUUUAGAUGAAGUUAUGUGCUUUGGAGUAUUGAAAUGCCGGUGAAGCUGUUCUAACAUAAGCUAAUUCAGGAGCUAGGGAAUUUCAUUAUUCCGGCCAAUUGGGUAAGUUAGGCUUAGUUUAUUAUGAAAUGCAGAGACAAUGUGGCAUUGGUUGCAGCAUAAGUGUUUAGAAGAGCAAGAUGACAAGUUAGGUGUAGAGAGUUAAGAACAGCUAGGUUGACAAUGUCUAGUGCUUACUGUAAAUAUAGUAGUCUGCACAUGAAGCAUAAUAUGCACGCGUGUGUCGCGCGUGUCUUCCCUUUUGGGUUUAGCUUACGAAGGAAUCGCCGACAGGACCACAGCGUUAACUAUUCUCUCUGCAACUGGUGCCUUGCCAGAAGAUUAGGUAUAAUGUUAAUAACAUCUCCCCUGUGGUGGCCUGGAUAUAGAUAACCCUAGGGAAUUAGGUUUCCGUAAGAUUGGAAGCAGCCUGUUUAUAGUGUUUCGAAAUAUUUAAAUUUUAAGAGAAAUUCGGAGCACUGGAUACAACUGUUAAGUCGAUUAUAACUAAAAUUUAGAAUAGGAUGUGAACUAGUUAGGUGUAUAUAGUGUCUCUGAGUAUGUGAACUAAUUUAGUGUUUAUAGUGUUUCUGAGUAGUUAACGAGAAUUUGAAAUAGUGAAGAAAGUGGUCAAAUCAACCAAAAAAGUAGAAAGAGAUGGUGGUGGUGAAAGAUGAAAGAUGAUGAUGAGUUUUGACUGAAGCAGUCACUAAAGUUGAGACCUGCAUUAGACAUGUACCAUUUUGGGUCCUGUUCAGUGACUGCUCAGUGUUCACAAAGGCUUCACUUUAACAGGGGAACUGACAUUACUUUUAGACUAUUGAGUAAAGCAAACCCCUGCCUGCACUAUCAGUCCUGCACUAUCAAUUUUCAACAAGGACAGGAUGCAGAAGGAAAUUACUGGGAGUAAAAAGUAGAAACCAAAUAUAUUUUGAUGAAUUUUACUGUUGUAGAAGUCACCCUGUUGCGAAUUACAGCCUAGUUUUCACUGGCUGAAGAGCAAUUCUCGGAGUAGUUUAUCUGGGCUUCACAGGAGAAAUCAAUUGGCAAUUGUUGGAGACUUGGAGCACAUAGUACUUGCUCCUAUUUUUCAACGUAGAAUCCACAUUUUCAACCUUUUCUGGAAAACUUUGAGAAUUAAAACCAAAGGGAUGCCCAUGGCCCAUAGGUAUUCUACUGGGCUUAUUGUCCAACCCAAAUCUCAAACCAAAAGUGAUAAACCUGGACCCAUCGAUAAAAGAUUAUCUUAAAACAUUGGUCUCUUACUGCAAUGGCAGGUCAAGACUCAAGAGCAAAAAACACUAGCCUAAAAUUUCAAGCCCAAGUGAGCUUCAAGAGAAAGCCCACUCAUAUUUGGGCCAACCAAGCUCUAGACACAACCCACAUGCUGACCCAAUGUGCUACUGCCGCCGGCCAAGGCACGACGCUCAACCUCGCCGUCAUGGAGCUGCCACUCGGCCCACACUUACCAUUACAGAGCCCCCGCCGAUAGCUUGCAAGCCACCAUCGGCAACGAGGGCCUUUCAAAUCCCCACCACAUGUAAUGUGAAUGUUACUUAAACAAAUAAUAUUAUUAAGCUUUCAUGAAAUAAUUCGAAUUUCUAAAGACAUGUGAGAUUUAUAGGGUGUACGUGACAUGUAAUGUGAGAUAUGUUUACAUUACCUUUCGGAGGAGAAGGGAUGAAGAAGUCAUAGUGUAAUCGAAUAAUUAAGCUCAUCUUUUUCAUUCCCCAAACCGGAAAUUUGGGAAGAAAUAGAACGAUAUCAUUAGUUAUAAAGAAAAACUAAGCCUCAAUCAUAUAGACGAAAAAAUAAAAGAAGCGAAACAACUCUUUUCCGUAAGCACGUAACUUCAUUUUCUAUGACCCCAUCCACUUUCGAAUUUGGUCCAGUUUAGACUUUAGAGUACAUCAGGUAUUGCACAUUUGCACGUAGAUUCGACCUUUGCGGUUUUAGUUUAAAGCAAUUUAUAUUGUUCAUAAGUCAUAAGAAGGCACCACUAAGCUGGUGAAUGGUGAUGUUAUAUUUUACGACUAGUGCCUAUUACAUAGAACUAAGUUAUAGUUAAGCACUUAAGCUAAUUCUUUAGUUGCUUACCUGCUUGGAGGCAUUAGCUUACUCACAACCUCGACACAGAUAAGUGCUUCACACUCUGGAAAUCCACAUCCAGAAUAUCAAAAGGAUGCUCAUCAUAUGUUCAGCUCCUAUCUAUAUCUUUACCCACUAAUCAUAAUGUGAAUUCAGCACAAAUGGAAACAAUAAGAAUGAUUAUGUGACGAAAAUUAGUGGCAUAACAAUUCGUGGAUUCCUUGCUUUACUCCAUAUGAGUAGUUUAAAAGUACAACAAUUCUAAAGCUGGCUGGUGGAGAUACCCAAGACUCUAGUUGGGAAAGUCUUAAUUUGGUCUAUUUUACACAGCUUUCUGAUCUUUAAUUGAUUAAGUUUCAAGAACUCACCGUUUUCUUCCUAUUUCUGUUAUGUAUAUGACGAUUCUCUACGGCCUCCACCCACUUAUUGAGUCAUCAUAUUUGUGUAUUAGUCACAAUCGGAGAAGUUAUCAUUAACUGAAAAUUUUAUAAUGCUUCAGAAUACUAAAUUUACGAAGACAAGAAUAAUUUAAUUACAAAUUUUACACACGUGUCUCCUCAUAUAUAGUUAGUCUAAUAAAUUCAGGUCUAAAACUUUAAUACUUCAAAAAAUUAUAGAACACACAUCGAUUCCAAUGCCCUUGAAAUUAAGAUUGUGCCGAGGUCUUCAUAGUGGUUGAGCAAAAUAUCAAGCAAAAAUUGAUGACUACUUGCAACAAUGUCCAUAGACAAAUCGAAGUGGGAAAGCUCUUGAGAUGAUGUGAUGGUUUUCCAUAGCUAUAGAUCGAUUAUCUGAAAGUGAUGUAAGUAACUGACUUUGGCUACAUAUCUUGGCCGGAUCAUUAUUCCUCUUGAUUUUUAGUGAAUCACUGAAUCUCAUAUAUGUGGCAUACUCUCUCCCUCAGGUAACGAAUCACUGUUAUUAUGCUAUGCAGCUAGCAAAAUAAAAACAGGACAAUCCAAGCACCUUUUUGAAUUUUAGAUAGCUAUAUAGGUUAGACUAUAUAACAUGUGGAUAUUCUUCCUAUUUUUACAAUCAAGUUUUGUAAUUCUUUGUGUAUUUGACAAUCUUAUAAAGUAAUUCAAUAUAGGAUAAAAUUGAUCGGUAGUAUUAACGUCGUUUUAAGGAAAACAUGAUCGUCAUAUUUAUUUGGAAAUAAAUCGAGUUGUGAUGUGUGGACAAUUGAAGCUGAAUUACCUUACAUGUGUGGCUACUCAGCUUGCCACACUUGAAAAUAUGGGCAACACAAGAAUUAGAACAUCCAUCAACCAAAAUAGCUAUGAUGAUGAACACAGUACUCUAGCUCACACAUGUAUGAUGUGUGUGGAAUACAAAGUCAUUACAGUAUGGCCUUGAUCAAAUGCAAAUUAGGCAUUGGUUUAUAAAUCCAAAUGCUUAAUUGAUGGGAUCCUCAAGAUCGGUGAUUUAAUUUCGAUUUGGUAUAAUAUUUAGACAAAAAUGAUACAGUGAUCGAUACAUGCAUGCCUGACGUGAAAGCUGGAUAUAUGUCCUUAUGCAGUCUCACUAUUUCGGAUUUACCUAAGCCCUCAGCUGGCUUUACUCACCAAUAUUCAUUUUCUUAUGAUAUUGUAUGCAUAGUGAAGCAUAAUAUUUGUCUAUUAUUACAAAAAAUAACCACUGAAAAUUAAAAAAAGUUUUUGGAAUUUUGAAUGGUUCUCUUUGCCUUCUUCAUCAGACAAAUAAAACCCGGUGAUAUUUGGGCAGAACAUAUAUGCACCACUUCUGGACAAGACUACCCUACAAGGAAAUACCCUCAUCAAGCAUUCACUAAAUUUCUUUAAUCUCUUUCAAUACUAUGUCCACUCCUUUUCAUCGUUUUUCCACUACAUAGACCAUAACUCUUCUCACCUAUCAAAUAGAAUCACUCAUAUAUCGAUCUCACUCUCUCUUUCUUUCUUCUACCUCCUUCUCUCUCUUCCUCUCCCUCUGCAUGCAACCAGAGAUGGUUAGUAUGCAGAGAAUUCUGGUGUUUUCUGCUCUUCUGGUUUUUGGGGUGUUUAUAAGUUCUUCAUGGGCAGAAGAAAAGCUUGUAAAUCUGACCAGGCUGCAGAUGUUCGUCGAUGAGCUACCUGACAUGCCUAGAAUCCAAGGCUUUCGGGUUGUCAAUGGUGUUCCAAGACCCAGGUCAUUCAAGAUUGGCAUGUACCAGAAGAAAUGGGUAAAAGCUAAAGCAGAAUCACUCACUCUCUUUAUUUAUCAUAUUUUGAUUCCUUUCGCUUUUCCUAUAUACAAACAGAUAUCUUUUGUUUUUCUAUGGUUAUUGUUGCUUUAGAUAACAUCUAGGACAAUAAUUUGGCCAGACUGAGCUUCAGAGGCUGUCAUCUAAGAUGAGUAAGAUCUAACUUUCAUAUCCUCGCCGAGGGUAGUUCAAAAUUACACCAACUCAAAUAACUUUUUACCUCUUUCGGUUUUCCAUGAUAGUUUUAUAAUUCAUAAAUCAAAUUAAAGUGUAAUUUAGUGAGCUGUAACCCUGUUUAUAAACUCCAUUCACUUAUACUGUUGCGUACAAAAAUUUUCGUAAUAAAACCUCAGAAAAAUAGAACACAGAAAAAAUUAAGUUGUUGAAUGUUUAUACGUACAAUUUCUAUGAGUCAAGAUGGCUCGAAUAAUUAAGUUGUUGAAUGUUCUUUUUCAAAAUGGUAAUCAUCAUUUAAUUCCAUUAGGGAAUUGAUGGUGCAUCGCUGGCACAGUUAAUUACAAAAUUAGACCUUAAGCAUUUGCUUAAUUCCCUUUUGCAGAAAUUCCACAGAGACAUACCGGAAUCGACGGUGUACGCCUACGGUACAAGCAAGCACACAGCAACAGUCCCUGGUCCUACAAUCGAGGCCCUCCAUGGCAUUUCCACCUCCAUUAGGUGGCAAAAUAAUAUCCAUUCAACCAAGCACAUCCUCCCUUGGGACCCCACCAUUCCGACAGCCGCACCUUCCACCAAAAACGGCAUUCCAACGGUGGUGCACCUACACGGCGCCAUCGGUGAACCCGAGAGCGACGGAAAUGCUAACUCGUGGUUCACCGCAGGGUUCCGAGUUCGUGGUAGCACUUGGUCGAAGAAAACGUAUCGCUAUUACAAUCAACAACAACCUGGAAAUUUAUGGUACCAUGACCAUGCCAUGGGGAUGACUAGGGUGAACCUCUUAGCUGGCCUUGUUGGGGCCUACAUUAUCCGGCAUCCAGAUAUUGAAGCCCCACUCGGACUUCCUUAUGGUGAAUUUGAUCGCACAUUGGUGGUUUUCGACCGUGCAUUUAGCACCGACGGUUCCAUAUACAUGGACCCCAGGGGUAACAAUCCCUCUAUCCACCCACAAUGGCAGCCGGAGUAUUUUGGUGACGCUAUCAUAGUAAACGGAAAGGCUUGGCCAAAAUUGACGGUACGACGUCGGAAAUACAGGUUCCGAAUCAUCAAUGCCAGCAAUGCAAGAUUCUUCAAAUUCUUCUUCCCCAACGGACUGAGAUUCAUCCACGUGGGAGCUGACUCAGCAUACCUUGCAAAACCAGUCACAAGCAGGGAAAUUUUGGUGGGGCCAUCUGAGAUCACUGACGUGGUAAUUGACUUUUCCGCGUCGAAGACUAACAGUGCUAUCCUGGCCAACGGCGCAGCGUAUCCUUACCCCACCGGCGACCCGGUCAACGAAGCCAACAGCAAGGUCAUGAAGUUUACGAUUCUCCCCCACUCAGAGGUCGACACGUCGCGUGUUCCGGCGAAGCUAAUCCACUACCCUGUUCCUGAUUUAUCCACUGCUUCGCAGACACGCUACAUUGCUAUGUACGAGUACGCUAGCAACAUUGAUGAGCCGACGCAUCUCUACCUGAAUGCUAAACCCUACGAAGCUCCGGCGACCGAGACCCCGAAAGCGGGGGCGUCGGAGAUUUGGAACGUGAUCAAUCUGACGGAGGACAACCACCCGCUGCACAUUCACCUUGGGUUGUUUGUUGUACUUGAUCAGACUGACUUGGUGAAUGUGGAAGAGUUCAAAGAUUGCAUGACUAAGAGAAAUGACGCUGUCAAGUGCCAAGUAAGCAAGUAUGCACGUGGCAACAAGACGGAGGUGCCAGCUCACGAGAAGGGGUGGAAGAACGUUUUCAAGAUGAGACCUGGUUGUGUGACAAAAAUUCUGGUGAGAUUUGCUUACAUACAUACGAAUGCAUCCUACGUAUUCGACCCGACUGCCAAGCCUGGCUACGUCUACCAUUGCCAUGUAAGUAAUCAACGAUAUACAUUAGUUUCUUUUCGAUAAUUCUAUAAUGUUUCGGAGUAUAAAUUUGAUAUUUUUUUUGAAAUUAUAUAUUUUUGGGUGUCUAUGUUCUAUAGUAGAGUUCACGGGUAUACUAGAUAGUAUAAGAAGCUGCAUAAAGCUUGUAGAAGUUGUCUGGUAGCCUGGUAAGUGUCUGAGACGCUGUCCAGAAGAGUCCAAUUUACAGAUGCCAAAGAUGGCUUUGUUUGUUUGAUUCUCUAACUGAUAUGCUUCUAUAUGAUUCGUAGCUAUCGAUCAUAGUCAUUAGCAGUUUCAAAUAUGAUUAAGUUGUUUUUAUUUGAACUAAUUGUGCAGAUCUUAGAUCAUGAAGACAAUGCGAUGAUGAGACCUCUGAAAAUAAUCCGUUGAGAUAUUGGAUACUGUCAAAUCGUAUAGGUAAUUAAUCAGUCGUAAUCUGCUGAUUAUAAUAAUCCGUUGAGAUAUUGGAUACUGUCAAAUCAUAUAGGUAAUUAAUCAGUUGUAACCUGCUGAUUAUUUUGCUGUUUAAAAUGAUUUUCUUCUGCUCAGCUGUGACUAGUUCUUUAUUGUUAUGCAGGUUUUCGAAUAAUCGAUCAGGAACUCGGGUUUAAGCUAGGUGGUGUUUAUGUCAUACAAGUGCUUAAUUAGGUUGUCCAAAUAGUUAGCAAUAAAACUCUGUUUCUCUGGCUAGCAAAGAUGUGAUCAUAUAUAUAGUUUGCAAAUAGAUAUUCAUCAAGUUUUUGGUAUAUAGUUGAUUCAUUCAAAGAUAUUAUUAGUACCAUUAGUAUUUUUCUUUUCGUUUCAAACAAGGAAAUUGACCAUAAACUGGUACAUCAAUCCAUCAACAUCAAGUAAGCUACGUAUUUUGGAACUUUGAAUCAUUCACUGGCAAUUUUUUUUUUAACAUCACUAAACUGAUACCAAUGAAACAAUCAACUGAAUGAAGCCAUCGAGUGAUAGUUACUGUUAAUCACUCACCAGCAUUGUUUAUUUUUCCUUUUAACUGGAAUUAUCUCACAGAAGAAAAGUUCAUAAGCUUUGUUUCAUUCAGUGUCUAGUGAUGGCAAUCACCUCAAACAAUGUACUCAAAUUUAUCUCAGACCAUAGAAAUUCUUACUCUUUUCCGAAACAAAACCAAUAUAAUGAAAACACAGGUACGUACAGAUGAGAAACUAACCUGGAGAUCGAGAUAAAAGAAUAAGAAGGCGAUGAACAAUCAUAAACACACACAAUAAAGUUUUUUUGUUUUGAGCAGCUGCCGAGGGAGAAGCUGAAGAGAAAGAUGAGGGAGAUGAAGAAAUCGGUUCUGCUUCAAUUUCUGGUCCUAGUUUCUUCGAAAUUGAUUUUCGGCGAAUGGUUUAGGCCUUAUGUGGGCCAAAGCCCAUUUUAGUUUUUGAAAGAAAAAAAAUCCUGCGGCUAACGCAAACGAGGUGGGUCUAGGCGGUCGAGCCACGUGGGCCAUAACGGGCUGAGAGGCCCAUCCUUUAAAAAAAAGAAAAAUAAUAAACUAGAAAAGAGAAAUAUUUUCUCCGGCCUAGGCGGAACUUGGUAGGGCUAGGCGGUCGACGUGGCGCGAGACUUAGCGGGAAGUGGGGUCCACAGUUACAAAAAAAAAAAAAAUAAUAAAAUUGGAAGCAGACGAGGUCUUCUUCUGAGAUUUCUGGUGUGUGCGGGGAUAAAGCAAAUGAAAUUGAUGAUUUGCUCUUCAUGGUGAAGAUGGCCGGACACAGGGAUUCGGAACUUGUCAUUCAUUCCCCUUGUUCGUCUCAACACAGAAAACCAAGCACCGUUUCUUAAUUUGAUCGCUUCACAAAUCACAAACCUUUGUUCAGUCAUGGCUUCCUCGACAGAAAUCACGAUGGCAUUGUUUAUCCUUGGGAGACCUUUCAAGGUUUUUACUUUGUUCCUAGUUUGUGAUCUGUUUCUGUUUGAACUAAUUGUGCAGAUCUUAGAUCAUGAAGACAGUCCGAUGAUGAGACCUCUGGAAAUAAUCCGUUGAGAUAUUGGACACAGUCAAAUCAUAGGUAAUUAAUCAGUCAUGAUGUGCUGAUUACUUAGCUGUUUAAAUUGAUUUUCUUUUUAUUUUGUUUAGUUGUGAGUUGUGACUAGUUCUUCAUUGUUAUACAGGUUUUUGAAUAAUCGAUCAGGAACUCCGGUCCAAGCUGGGUGGUGUUUUUGUCAUACAAGUAUUAAACGUUAAACGUACGCUUAAUUAGGUUGUCCAAAUAGUUAGCAAUAAACUAUGUUUCUCUGGCUAGCAAAGAUGUGAUCAUAUGGCAAGUAGAUAUUCAUCAAAUUGAUUCAUUCAAGGAAAUUGACCAUAAACUGGUACAUCAAUCCAUCAUCACAAGUAAACUACGUAAUUUGGAAAUUUGAAUCAUUCACUGGCAUUGUUUUUUUUUUAACAUCACUCUCCUAGACUGAUACCAUUUGAAACAAUCAACUGAAUCAAGCCAUCAAGUGAUAGGUACUGUGUAUCAUUCACCAGCAUUGUUUGUUUUUCCUUUUAAGUUGAAUUAUCUCACAGAUGAAAGUUCAUAAGCUUCGUUUCAUUCAGUGUCUAGUGAUGGCAAUCACCUCAAACAUGCUACUCAAAUUUAUCUCAAAUCAUAGAAAUUCCUACUCUUUUCCGAAACAAAACCAAUAUAUUGUUUUCCAUAUAUCACUCAUAUGGAAAAGCUCAGGGUCAGAAGUCUCAAGCUACUGAUAUGUGUACUCCUUAAGUUGCCUUCCCACAGGUCUUGAAAAGAAAACAAAAAAACAUUGCUCUCUUACGACGAAUUUUAACAGGUGCUUGCUAUGCACAAAUUUGAAGAUGUACCUCGUAUGUACCAAUCUCUCACACAGUCACAUACACACACACACACAUUUAGUACCGAACAACCAAGGAUCAUGAUGUGAUAAGAUUUCAGUUUCAGUCACUAACUAGCAAAUAUGACCACUAUGAUUGAAAAUGUGCAGCAACAUAAACUAAAAUAGCACCUUUGGAAUAAUCUCCUGUAUGAUAUGGUUAAACCAUCUCUGGUUUACUGAGAGGGUCUCCAUAGAAGGUGCCAUACGGUAUAAGGAGUCCCUCAUUGAGUCAUCAUCGUGUUGCCACCCCUUACGAUUACCUCCAGAUGCUUGACACUAGUUAAUGGUGGACGGUGACGAGUAUAUUUGGAGAAUGCUUCCAAGGCCACCAACCGUUACCAGCCAUGAUAGUAGUCUCGUACAAAUUUGGAGCAUUGAUACAAAACUUGAGCUCGUUUGUCGGACCAUCGAACCAAAAUGAUCUUAGAUUUGGAGCAUCAAUUAUAAUGUCAUUCAUAGUGUGGCAUUGGCACAGAACCAAACGUUUCAGAUGCUGACUAACGAUUCUGAUAUGUUCUCCAAGGUAGCAGUUAUAAAGUAUCAAACUCUCAAGUAGUGGAAAUCGUGAAGUGAACUCUUUGCCACACACACCUGCAAAGUUUGCACCAAAUAACUCUUAGUUCCUAAGCUGUCCGCAAGAAGCAAAAUCAAUAGUGUACGAAGACCAGGACUUCCCCUUUUCACUGCCAACUCCAAGAGACUCAAGAUUCAUAGCUUCAACUUGAAGCCUAGCGUGGCGCUCUGGAAAACUGAUAAAUUCCAGGGAUUUGAGGCUUGAGCUCGAAACUUCAAUGUCUGCAACAAGGUUGUACCAUCCGGAUAUCGACAGAUUCUCAAUGGAAGGACAUAAAUUUAACUGAAAGGAUCUCAAAUCGCACUCUUUUACUUUUACACGCUUUAGGGACAUAGAUUUCAAAGAUGGAAAGGUUACUGAUUCUCGCAUCAUCCAAACUCAAGGUAGUCAAAUGUUGUGCACUACUCAUAAGGGUGACGUUUACAGACUCCAAACUUAGAGUAGUCAACAAAUCUGCAUUUCUAACUUCCAAGGACAAAUAAUGACUCGCUGCCAUCUAUGACAGCCAGGUAUAGCUCUUUAACAUGUCUAUUCAUAGCAAAUCUCAAACACUUUCUCACAAUAUGAGAGCUACAUGUUUCAUCUAAAGACAGAUAUCUCAUGCGAAUCCGAAGCCUCAAUCUAUGCAAGGAUUUAUCUUUCUCACGCCGCUUCAAACACAUUGUUACAAACUCGGCGAACUUUAUGUGUCGACGAAGACGGUUGGCAUGAAGAUCAUCAUCCUCACCAAGUUGCUCUAUUUCAUCCACGUCGAAAUCUAAUGCGGGGACCGAAAACCAGACACGUUCCCAUUGCUUGGAGAGAAUGAUAGCCCGGACGGCUUGUUUGGUAGAUAGAGAUUUCAGGAUUUCAUGGAUUACCAGGUCAGGUAAUGCGUCCAUCGAUCAUAUAAUACGUUCUUCUGCGAUUUCCAUAUAAACAAACAACACACAGGUACGUACAGAUGAGAAACUAACCUGACGAUCGAGAUAAAAGAAUAAGAAGGCGAUGAACAUACAAUCAGAAACACACAACUCAACCUGUUUUCUAAUGCUAAUAAAACCCUAAAACUCUUCGCAUGUCUAAUAAAGUCACAAAAGACUCUCCUCGAACUAUAUAUGUUUGUAACAUUGUAUAAUCACAAUAGAGCCGAUCGAGCUUUUCUUACCGACUGCCGAUCGUCUUCUUCUUCUUUUUCUCUUUUUGAUCUUUCACGUUUUGUUUGUUGUUUAGGGUUUUGGUUAGUAAAGAGCCCAUUUAUACUGUUAUUUUGCUUGCAAUGGCAAAAUCGUAGUUUGAAACACUACAGAGGGCUAAACCGUCCACUCAGCUGAUUAAAUUCGAGAGCAAAAGCAGUCGCAGCGGGAAUGGGAUAAACUAAGCAAGCCUCUCAUUUCGACGGCCGGAGAUGACGGUCCUUCUCAGCCGUCCGCUCCCUUCUUUCCCGGCCAUCCAACACCGACGUGUCACCAAAUCCAGACCGUCCAUUUCAACAAGCGUCUAUUGCUUCAACUCCAAACACUCCUUCAAGGUCAGUCUCAGCUCUCUCUCUCUCUCUCUGCGUUUUGAUGAUGAAAAUGUGAAGCGAAUUCUGAGAAAGUAUUGAUUUGACAGAGAGACUACACAAGCGUGAUGAUUGUACCUACCGGAGUCGGAGCCGCCAUCGGUGGAUACGCCGGAGACGCCUUGCCGGUGGCUCGCGCUCUCUCCUCCGUCGUCGAUUGCCUCAUCACUCAUCCCAAUGUAAGUUCCUUUUAUCAAUUCCAUUUCAUUACGAGGAAAAAGAAAAAAGAAAUAGUAUUAUGUUUGUGUUGAGUAGAAUUGGUGAAAGAUUUGGAGGUGGAUAAUUGACAGGUGCUGAAUGCAGCAAUGCUGUAUUGGCCUAUGCCUAAUGCUUUGUAUGUCGAAGGCUUUGCUCUCGAUCGAUUUGCCGAAGGCGUAUGGGCUCUCAAGCCUGUUCACCAGAACAAGGUGUGUUAUGAACUUAUUUAGAAUGUUAAAGGUUAGAAUUGAUGGUGUAAAUUGUGAGACAUUGUAUAGGUUUGCUUAUGUAGAGUGAAUUUUGGAGCAGGUCGGGUUGGUUCUUGAUUGUGGAAUAGAAGAGGAGCUUCGCCUUCGUCAUUUGCAAGUGGCUGAUGCUGCAAGGGCUUCCCUUGGCUUGCCUGUGGUGGAAUAUGUUGUCACUGACACUCCUUUGCAGGUAUCGGUUUGGCUGUUGAGAUUAAGAGUUGAUUUGUAUAGCAUUUGUGUUUGUUGUUGAAUCCUGCUGUUUAGAUCACAAUGUGUUGUUUUAAGUAGUAGGUCAAGUUACUAGUGAGCAAUUAGUACGCACAUUUUUUUUUAUCACAUUUCUGAGUAGAUUCCCAUUUGAAGGGUGUUUGAGAACACUGAAGUGGAAAAAAAAGAGCUGCUGUAUUUGAAUUAAAAUUGCUAUGGUUAAAGCAUUUUAGACAUGUAGUUCCAAAGCCCCUGCAUUAACAUACAGUAGAGUUCUGUUUUAUACUUUGUUUCACCUUUCUCUGUUGCCAAGCCUGCACUUUUAAUUCAUUAUUGAGGGUGUUGAGUGUUAGUAUAUUCUGAAUCUACUUGCUUAUGUGAUUUGGAGUUCUGAACUUUCCCCCUUGUUGUUGACUACAUGAUAUUGAAGGGAACAAAUUCUACAGGUAGAAAAGUGGAUUGAUCCAAAAAGUGGGCAGUCAACAGGGAGGAUUAAGCACCCUGAGUCACUACUGAGGGCUGUGCAGGCUUUAAUCAAACGCUCACAAGUAAAUGCCGUCGCAGUUGUUGGACGUUUCCCGGAUGAUGAUUUUGAAGACACUGAUGAUUAUCGACAAGGGAUGGUAUGCUAAUUAUUUUCUUAUACAAGGGAAUGUGCUGAUUAUUGUACGAUGUUUUUUUUCCUGAAUAGUCAUAAUCCCUUCUCUGCCAUUUGGUUACCAUAUCAAAUUGAAGUUUUUCUGUUAACUUUUCUGGUACAUUUCUCAUGCUAGAAUAUGCUUGGAUCAGUUAAUAAUUUGCCAAAUUAGUUUUGUCAAUACUUGGUAUUUUCUAUAACAUUGAGAUAACAAAAGUUGCUGGUGCUGCUAAUCCAUCUUCUUCUGUCAGAAUGACCAGCAGCAGCAAUAAAAUUCUUACUCGCUUAUUCUUGGUUCUGAUCAGUUCUGAAUUGCGUAUGUCGACUCUGUGAUGGAAUAACCAAGGGUUAUACACUGGUUCAUGGAAAUACUUGAGCCAUUUCCCCAUGAAGAAUGCAUUUUCUCCAUGAAGAACGCAUCUAUGUAGUUUCAUUUGUGUACAACUUUUAGCUUCAAAUUGCUAUCUACUGUUUACUCAUUGAGUCAUUUGUGCACAUGCUCCUGCUUUAUUACCUGUGGAAGUUCUGGUUGUGUGAUUUCGUCAAUGCAUAUAGCUGAUUUCUAUGAAGCUCACAUUUCAUUCAUCUUUCCUUUCCAGGGUAUUGAUCUAUUAGCGGGAGUCGAGGCAGUUAUAAGCCAUCUAGUAGUGAAAGAAUUCCAAAUUCCUUGUGCACAUGCUCCUGCUUUAUUACCCGUACCUCUGAGCCCAUCUUUAUGCCCAAAAUCAGCUGCUGAGGAGGUUAGUACAAUUCAACAGAACUUGGAAGUGAUUUGUAUAAGAGAGUUAAGAGACAAUUCUGAGGAACUAUUGCAUAAAUUAGAAAACAUAAUAUAAGAUAUCUGUAGCUUCGGAACAUAAUGUGCCUUCUGUGGGACAAUGAUUUAUGGAAGAUUGUAUAGCUAAGUAAUAAACAUUAAAGACAGUGGUUUUUCCUCCAUAAAUAUUACCCUAAGUGAACUUAUGUUAAUAGAUGUUUUAAUGGUUAUCUCUCAUUUCAUGUGCAACAGUUGGGAUACACAUUCCUGCCUUGUGUGCUUGCUGGUCUUAGUAAUGCACCACAGUACUUGGUCAAGAACUCUGAGUCCGAGCAUGGUUGUGUACUGGCAAGUGAUGUUGAUAGUGUCAUCCUGCCUAUAGAUGCUUGUGCAGGACCUGGUGCUCUUGCUUUUGCACAAAGCAAAGCCAAUAAGGUAUACAAUUUAAAUGGUGUUUAUCAAUACCCUCUCUCCCUGUUCACUGGUUGAAUUUGGAAGCAGCUUAUUUAACAGAUGGCAUGGGAUACUUGUUCCUUCUUGUUACUAAUUAUGAUUUUAUUGCAGCCCCUUAUAAUUGUUGUGGAGGAAAAUGAAACAGUCCUUGAUGACACACCUGAUAAAGUUGGCAUUGAAGCAGUAUGUCUCCAAAUAUUUUCACUACUCUGCUUUUUCUCCCUUUUUGACUCUCGGGACUUGGGAGCUAACUAAAUGAUGGAAACAAUUUAAAUGGCUCUUGCACUACAUUUAUUAAGUGCUUUUUCUGUUUAGUUGCUAAAAUCCUCAACCACCUUCUUUUCUUGAAGAGGUGGUGGAACCAUGUCUAUUAGUAAUUACUGGUAUCUUAACUAACUUGCCCUAAGGUUAAACCUAUAUAUCAAUUAAGUGCUUUCAAAUCCUACCCUAGUUCAGGUUUUAGUGCAGCACUGAGUGGAGGCAGGCAUGUUUACCUUCUUCGUAUUAUUCUACCAUAGUUCACUAGCAUGUCUGAUUACUCUAUGAAAUCUCUUUUUCAAGUCUUCUGUUGAUCACUUUUCUUUUAUUGUAUAAAAUUUUCCUGCAAGUAUAUUUGAAGGAAAAGACAGCUGAAUUUGGAAUAAUUGUGUGUGUGCUUGUAGAAGAGAGAACUGUUGGAGCCCUAAUACACCACAAACAGCUAACCAACAUACCCACUAGGAAAAUGACACUUAGGAAUUUGGUUUCUGAUUAAGUGGAUUAGUGGAACUAACACCAUGUACAAUUGUCUUCUACGUUAGUGACCGACAUACUCACUAAGCAAAUGACAUAACUUCAAUUCUUAGCACGUGUUUUCUGAUUAAGCUCUAACCUUUCUGCAGAUCAAGGUCUCAAACUAUUGGGAAGCAAUUGGUGUUAUUGCAGCUCACAAGGCUGGAGUAAAUCCACAGUCACUACGAAGAAAUAGAAUUAGCAAUCUUCAACGCACUUCUCUGCUGCCUACUAAUGGUUAUGCCGUUCAAACUGCCUCAACAAAUGGCUGAUUGUGCUGAAAUCACUUUCUCAACUAAUUUUCACCUAUUCUUUCAUUUAUGACAAACAUUUGACAAGGUUUCUGUCUUGGUUUAAUCACCUGUAAGAAAUUAAUGAAAAGGAGAGAUCAUUCUGGUGCUUGUAGAGUUGGUAUAGAGAUUCAAACUGCUGUCUGCAAUCGAGUCAUAUAACUCAUUGUGUAAAGUCAUCGAUGAUUUUUCAGUAGGUGGAUAUUGGAUAAUUCUUGGUGAGUUGUUGAAUCCACUUAAGACCUCUCGCCAAUUGAAUAUUUCAUAAAUGCAGAGCCAAUAGAUGUGGAUAGACACUACCAGAUUAAAUCGAGUCAUACUUAGGUUUGUUGAAUGUUCCUUCUUCUGUCUUCUGAUCUGAAAUCCUGAUGGAAACGUAUAACUACAAGUCAAUGCUGGUCUUAAGUUUCUUCUUUCCUUCUAUUGUUUUUGGCAGUCAGAUGCUUGUCUUAUGUUGAUUCACAGAUUUGGUACCUUUCUAUUUGGUCAGAUGUAAACAUCUGCUGGUGUUUCUUAUACGAAAUUCUGUAUUGUUUGACUAGCAGAAAUAGUAGGAAGCGAACAUAUUUGUGAUGCUGGUAUGAACUUGAAAUAUAACCAUAGGUGUACUUUUAUUCCCUGUACUAUAUAUAUUCUCCAUCUUAUAUCUCAUAUCCAUUCACUGUUUGCAGGGAUAUAACUCAGUUACCCUUGAGAUCACAGGAACAAUAUGCAGGUUAAGAUCAUGCUUCCAUAAGAACAACUUCAGCUGACUGUGUAUCAAUGAAAGACAAGAGGAGGGUUGUUGUUCUGCAAGGCAGCUUUAAACUGAUUUGGUGACUUAAAUAUGCAUUCCAACGUUGUUAAUUUGUCGUUCUGUUAUUAUUAUAAGGGUAAUUUGAUUUCUGAAUAGCGGCUAGCGGACGUUGUGCAAGUCCAGCAGCAGCCCAGAAUUGAACGAAAUAUUUCUCAGUCAAGAAAUCGAGAUGUGACACUGUUUUUGAUUUGUUUUGUGUUUAUAAGAUAUAGACAGUUCAUAAAAUUAUCCAUAAUCCGGCCAGUCCAUUACAGCUUCAUAGAGGAAGAAACCGUUCUGUUGGAGAAACUGUAUCAGAGUGUCUGAUCUAAAGGAAAAUGAGGUAUCUCUAUUAUGAUGAUCAACCUCAAAACAAGAAACAAUGCACUCAUCUUUACUCAACAACUACACAAGAUUUUGUUUAUAUUGGAACGGCGUUUUGAGUCUAUAAUAUACACAGUUUCGACUCUUAUACAUGCUGCAGGUUUUCAGAAGGAUUAUACAGCUUUUUGGAUUUACCUGAUAGCGAAACUUCUCUUACGUACAGAUUAAUGUAAACAAAGUUGAAAAGUAGAUGUUGAAAAUGCUUAAUUAUCGGUGAUCAUCUACUUGGUCCAAUUAAUCAUUGUAAAAUCAUUAUGGGGUUCUGGGAAGUUCUUAUACUAUAUAAUAAACUAGCAUGAUCAAUGAUGAACUGGUGAUGCAGACUUUAGAUAACAUGGGCAACUGACACAAAUAUUAUCUUAGUAGUGAUUUGCAAGCAUCAUUAUAUUAUAAUUUCUUCCAGACAUUCACCUUCCUUGAAGAACAGGAUGAGAUGCUUCACCAAGAUGCAAGUCAUGCAAAUAGUGCCAGGAAAAUUAGGGUAACAGCUUUUCACUGCUCGAUGCGUUUUAAGGAAUAUAUAAAACAAAGAUUGGCUUGUGGAAAUUCUGGACUUCCAAAUCGAAUGGUAAGGUCAACAAGUAGUUUUAUAAGUUUCUUGUUCUAAAUUUUGAAUAUGCAUGCACCCUUUUCUCUAGCAGCAUAUCUCAGCUCAUUGCAUUGAUAUCUGCAGUUCAAAAUUAACAGAAACCCAGGUAAAUUUGUUUGUUCUUAACUUUUCCUUAACGUGAAAGAAGGUUAAGGAUAUCCAGAUUAAGUAGAUUAAUCCGCUUCCUGCUGUGCAGUUUAAGGUAUUUAAUGGGAGGGAGACUUCGAUCUCUGUUCUGGUUUAUAAGAUCGAACAAAAGAAAUGUCAUUAAGAUUCCAAAAAGGAAGAAUUUUCUCGUAAAUUAUAUAUGCAAACUGCUCUCUAUCAUCUCAAUUUUCGCAAACAUAAUAACUGGUCAGCCUUAAGCCCUUAACCGUCUUUCUUCCUGCACGAGAGGCACAUGCUUGUUCAUCAAGAAGUCCAAGCAGGUACAAGUCCAAAUUAGAGCCGGGAACAGGGAUACUUAUACUUUUCAUUAUUGCCGUAUACGUAUCUAAAGGGAACUGGACAGUUCCAUAUAUACACUCUCCAACUCUCCAAUCCGGCAAUCCCAUGAUAACUACUUAGGAUCGAAUUAUGGAUAUGAAUGAUUACCAGCUUUACGUGUCUGAUUGGUCAUUUGUUUUGUGGGGAAAAUGGAAGCGUACUUAUUUGGGUCGAUUCAUCCGAUUACCAAUUGGUUUUGAAUUCGAAUUUCAUACUACAUUAUCAUGGUACGUAUCACAACGUGCGCAAGUCACGGCUACACGGACCCAUGUCUCCUAAAGUUUUCCAUUUGAAGGCUUGAAGUCACAAACCACAUUAGCUUCACUCAAUUAUUGAUCUAUAGGCUUGCAUUUCUUGAACUCAUAUAUGAGCAUUAGUCAAUUCAAUUCUUCAUCCUAGCUAGCUAUCUAUCUAUGGCCGUCCUAUCAACCUGGCCUAGUUACGUUCUCUCUUUCACUCCUCUACCAGUUGAACUUUGAGUAAUGUAGCUAUAGAUUCCCAGCUCGAUCCCUGCAAAGCUAGCCCCAGCUUAAUUUCCUCUUCCAUCUUAGUAGUAAAUGGUAAUAUGUUUUCUGUUGAUUGUCGGCAAACCUGGUUUCUACUGCGCGCACGAGCAAGUCUUCAACUGGUUAGCUCGAUCGUUGAAUAUACUAGACAUGACGGUGGGUGCUUAAAUAUAUGACAAACAGUUGGAGUGGAACAACAUGUGAAAGCUAAGGCACCUUUGAUAUCUAACGCAUGCAACCUAAAUCAUAUCACAAGACAUCUCUCAUUUCCCUUAAUUUAUACACAAGACAUCUCUCAUGACGGAAUUUGAAAUUGCAUACAGCGCUAGCCCUAAUAAUAGUAACCCAUUUGUACAGUACUUAAUUAUAUAGGAUUUGUUUUUGUUUGAUUAAUUUCCCUCAAGUUUGAGUCGUAUAUAUAUACUUCUCUUUUCAGUAACUAAGAAAAAUAAAGCAACUAUCUCAGUAUCUCACGGCCAUGCAUAUAUAUCCUACUUUCCUCUGAUCCGGCAACUCAUGUAAUAAGGUAAAUACAUAGUUUGCAUGCAGCCAUUCCAGAAGGAAGCUACCAGCUCAAACCAAAUUCACCGCCAUGCGUUGUUUAUUACUGUAGUUUGUUAGCUUAGGUUGUUUUUUAAAGUUACCAAAUGGAGAUUCAUGAAACAACCAGAUCUUAUAUGCGAUUGGUUUUGGUACAACGAUGUCAAUUGGAGAUUCAUUGAAACACAAGAUAUGUGAUGUUGAAACAUACGUGCAUCAACAUAUAUAUAUAUGUAGACCCGUCCACCCAACUAGUAUUCCUUUCUAUUCAUCGCCAUCAAUAGAAAAUAUAUACUAAAAAUUAAAUAUGAAACGAGAAUUUUCUUUUUAGAUUUUUCUGUCAAUUUUUCUUAAUCAGAUGGCUACUACUAUUAUUAACAGAAAGUAUAGUGCAAAUACCAAAACCUAGUUUCAUUGAAAUUUUGAAAUGAAACAACUACCAUGACCAUCUCUAAGACCUUAACCUCUUUCAAUCCGUUAAUACUCUUUCCUAUCUAUGAUGACUUUCAUGGAAUGCACGGAUGACAUUUUCUGCGACAGUAAAGAAAACAUGUUUUGUGUAAUAGGCUAUCCGUAUAUCGGCGCAGCUGCUGGCACAGCUUCUUUCUAUUCGAUCUGUCGUUACAUAUAUAUCUGCUACUUCAAAAGAUAUACAUAGAAAAUUAAAUAUGAGUUGUCUUCUGGGCAUAGAAACAAGGAUAAGAAGCAGUGCCUGUCGGGGUCAAUAUCCAUGCUUGAUUGCUUGGCUUCUUCCCAGUACCAGAAAACCGCCCGCUCGAAGCGUCACAUCGAUCAGCUCGCGCGAUACAGGCAUAGCUAUAUAGAAUUAACUUGAGUUGCGAAUCGAUAACUACUAUGAACAUAAAGCAGUGGACCAUUGUGAGAUCAGAUAUAUUGAUCCGUUAUCCUUAUCCAUAGAAGAACACAGCUUCAGACUACUAGCUCGGAUCGAGCAGGUAUUGAAAAUGAAGAACGUACAAUACGGACUGGUAGCAUCAUCAGCAUGCAGCAACAGCACCCCUUAGACUGGCAGGUGCAUGCUUCUUACGGUUGGGAUGAUGAGUUGAUUGCAGCUGCAUGCAAAUGUAACCAUACAAAUAUAAUUAGAGUUGAAACCGAUUAUUAACAUAGAUAUUUGUAUGAGGAAUCAAAUCAAAGUAUAGAAUUAAAUUCACAGCGUUUUAUCAAUUUUAUACUUUAAUUUAGAGAAUGCGGCUUCUAUUACACUAAUUUCUAAAGGCUUUUUACACUUUGAUUAAAGUUGAAGUUUUACAUUUUCAAGUGUAAUGAUGACAACUUUGCCAACGACAUUGACUGCCUCAUCAACUUCGUCAAAUAUACUGUUGAGAUCGAAGGUGAUCAAUUAGAAGUCAAAAUAUCUGUUUCUUCCCAAUAUUAAUUAAGCAAACAAUUAACAAAAAUUACCUUCGCCACAUUUCAGUUAAAUUAGAGUUAAUUAGGGGAUACAUUGUACUCUAAUGAUGAUGCAUUAGCCUUUUUUGUAGUUGUCUCUAGGAGGAAGGAGGUCUAUCCGAUUUAAUUUAUGCAUAUAUUCUUUGUAUGCUCCCAAGUCGUUGGUACGUACGGCUGCUUAUAAUAACGUCCGGCAAGUUUAGGUACUGCAAUCGUACUUUUUGCUAAUGAGAAAGAUGGUGUAGUAACUAUACUUUGGUAAUUUAUUUUCGUUUCCUAGUUUAUCAAUCCUGAUCAGGGGUUAUGUAGGUAAACCUGAAGUGAUUAAGUUUCAGAUAGCCAUUUAGCCACCCAAGCAUUACAGCUUUGUUUGGUAUGAAAAUGAAAUUAAUGACUGCCCUGAUCACCGACCGACAACAGUUAUGCUCGUUUCAUAUGUGGAAGGUGUGAGAGAUGGAGGUUUCUUGAUAAUUCGUUACGCAUCUCCUUUAUUACCUAAUUAGGCAUAUGAUAUAAGUUACUGAUUGUAUGUGUGUCUAUCUAUAGGUAUACUGAUAUGAUCUCUUUGGUUGGGUAUAUCUCAACUGGAGGUGGUUUUCUGGGACAAAAUUAUACCGAGGCUAGAAUAUUAUUCUGCAUCCCACAGUUUUCCUCAUUCUAGUAAUGGAAUUCAUGACUUGUUAAUCAAAGUCUGGAUUUAAAUCAUGUCUACCUUCUCUUCGCAUAAAGAUGUCAAACACAAGCUAGGACAGUGCUCACUGCUAACUCACUGACCGAUCACGCACACUAACGCAUUGGCGAACCACCGGUCCAACUAGUCCUUAUAAAGUCAACUUCUUUCUUUUCCGGCUAACUAUUUGAACGUACAUACACCUACCAACCCAGCCCAUCAUAUAAACCUCCAGUAGUUCCUCACCUCAAAUCUAAACCCAAUCCAUUCUAACUCCUUGCCCCCAUUUCUCUCUCUCUCUCUCUCCCUCUCCCUCUUCCUGAAUUGCAUGCAUCCUUUUCUAUAGCUAGCUUGCUAGUUUCUUGGUAAAUUUGGUAACUUGGUUAUAGACAAUCAUGAGGAAACCCUGCUGCGACAAGCAAGACACGAACAAAGGAGCUUGGUCGAAGCAAGAAGAUCAGAAGCUCAUCGAUUACAUUCGCAAACAUGGCGAGGGUUGUUGGCGUACCCUUCCUCAAGCCGCAGGUAAAUCUAUACAUUAAAACGUAAACAUGUGCAAGGCUAAAAAUUGAGAGAAAUUGCAGAAUAUAGAAAAGAUUGUUUUUUUUUUUGUUUUUUUGUUUUUUGUUUUGAGGUCUUCUUUUCUAUAUCAAUCACAUAUAGAGAAAUGAACAUCAACACAAUUGCUAAUUUCAUCCUUAAUCUUCUUCUCAUGUACUAAUUGCCUGAUAUUUGGAAAUUCAGGCCUUCUUCGAUGCGGUAAAAGUUGCAGACUUCGGUGGAUAAACUAUCUACGGCCGGACCUUAAAAGGGGCAAGUUUGCUGAAGAUGAAGAAGAUCUCAUCAUUAAGCUUCAUGCACUCCUAGGCAAUCGGUAAGAGCCAUAUUAUAAACAGAUGUUAAUCAUUUACAUCUUCUAGCUUCACAAUAUUAUAACUAAUUAACAAUUACGGAGCAAAACUAAUGAAAAUGAUUUACAUAGAUGAACCAUAUAUAUAUGACUUAAUUUUCUACAUGAGAGGUUUUUACUAACGAUAAAUUGUUAAAUGGUUCAAUUUAGGUGGUCGCUGAUUGCCGGAAGAUUGCCGGGACGUACAGACAAUGAAGUGAAGAACUAUUGGAACUCUCAUUUGAGACGAAAGCUUAUAACCAUGGGUAUAGAUCCAAACAAUCAUCGACCCACCAGCACUCUCUUCCCUCGGCCUCAUAAUCAUCAUCAUCAAAACCCACCACAGACACUAAAAUCUCCAGCUGGUUCUGCUAUCAAUAAUUUUAACCAUGAGCCAGUAGUGUUCGAGUCCAAAACUCCGCGUGGUGAUGAUCAAAAUUGCGAGCAGGUCUCGGAUGGCAGAAGUUGCUUAGAGGAUGAUUCUUCUUGUGGUGGUCAUCACCUGCCUGAUUUAAACCUUGAUCUCACUGUCCAUCUCAGGGUUUCUAAUGAUGAUCACCAAUAUCUCAGUAAGGAGCUCAAUCAUCUUCAUCUCAGAAUUAGUGACCCUCAUGAAAUGUCGGUUGGGACAAAGACUGAUAUAUUUGCCUCAUCUACCACGCUUCCUCUCUUCAGAUAAUCGUACAUUCUUCCAUCGACUAGCUAGCUAGCUGGUUAUUAAUUAAUUCAUCCAAUUUUGUGGAGGAUUUCCGCAAUAUGUAAACACUAAUUCUGGCUGGAGAACAAAGCCGGUUAUGAUUUAUUUUUGUCGAUGGGAGGGAGAUCAUGCCUAAAUUUGAAGAAAGCCUACUACCUAGCUUGUUUUUUGGGAGCGAAUUCAACAAAUUGGAAGAACCAUUUGUGGAAAGUUGGCAUGAGCUGAUUGAGCAUGAUAUAUAUCCAAGACCACAAUUAGGUCAAGGCUUUUGAAGACAUAGCUAGCCGCGCAUGAUGUGGAUAAUAUCCUCGAAGAGUAGUAAACAUUUAUAGAGCACAUAUGUGGUUAAUAAAAUGCACUACCUAUAUAUGUAAAUUUGUGAAUUAUUACAUGAACAAGUCCUGUAAUUUAGUUUUCUCUUUAGAUCUUUCACAUUAUCAUCUCUUUGAUCAAUUUUAUUUUCAUUAAUUUUGUAAUCUACAAUUAGCCUCUCAAGUAAAUUGGCCUCUUUUAUUCUCUUAUAGUUUCUUUGAGUCGAUCUAUAACAUUUUUGUUUAAGUUUCUCUUUGUAUGUUCGCUAAAAAAAUGUUUAGCUUUUGUGAAAUUUAUCACUGAUUUAAGUACCCCAUUUACAUGGCCAGUUGAAAUAUCUGAUCUUGGCAUUUGUACAAAAGCAAAUCACUCUUUGACGCCCAUAAUGUUGUGAUCAAAUUCAGAUCUGAAAGCUAACAAAUGGAUGAACUUAACAUUGAACAUUAUGGUUAUUUAAUUAAAAUCCGGGGAAGGGGUUGAGCCUCUCAGCUAGGCUGGGUUCCAAACCCUUUAAAAAAAAAAAAAAAAUAAACAUUAGANAAUUAUAUGAUUGGUAUGCUCCUAUAUCUACAUGCAUGCAUCUCUAAUAUAUUGGCAUUUGGACGUUUCGUUUUUUUUUUGUUAAGUGAGAGUUGACUUUAUCAAUUUAAAAAGAACUUCCAUUUCGACAAGCUUUAGUGUCUUCUCCGAGCAUGAAAUGUACGUAGAAACAUUUUGACGACUAUUCAUGUAUAACUGAUUUAUACAAUAUCUGAGAUGAGAUGCUCGAUUUUGUGCAUAAAUUGAUUUCAAAUUUAGGGACAUUAAAAUGGACUACUGCAUGCGCGUACGUUUGUUUGAUCCAUUUUAUGAACCGAAAGCGAGAUCUUGCAAAACACUCACACGACAUAUAUGCAUGCAUCCGGAUAUGCAAGAUCGGUUAAUGGAGCUGAAAAAUUAGAUCGAUUGUGUUUUCGAACGAUCAGUAUAGAGGGUUAUUGGUGGAUUCUGUGGCUGUGUACUUGUGAUCGAUCAUAUAUAGGAUAGGGAUUGAAUAUUUGAAUGCACACGAUUUUAUAUAGUGAAUAUGAUCGAUCAGUACGUACGUAGUAGUCAUUGGCAUAGAUAUGAUAUCUACCAUUCAAUAUGAUCGCUACCUAGAACUAACAGUCGAGGUUUAGUAAUUUCCCACGCUUUAAUCUUUAUUAUCAGUUAUGUGUGUACUUUGAAGUUUCGAACUGAUGCCGAUAGAACUCAGCGGACUUUUCCUUAUUCUUGAUUGAUAGAUAGGUCAAGAAACUUAGAAACAUCACAGGUACAUGUUGAGUUUUCUCAAAAUGGCAAAUGCAUUAGGGUGAAAAGGUAUGGAAACUACUUCUGCAGGAGUUUAGGGUUUUGACCAUUGAGGUUGGAAGGGAGGUUAUGACAGUUGCAGAGAUCGAUGAUGAUGAAUGGCACACGCUAAUCUAAACCCAGAUCGACCCACCGGCACGUAUGUGGGUCGAUCCGUCUUAUUCUCCGCUGCUGCAACUUUUACUGAUUUGUCUGAGUACAAAGGGUCCUUACAUAUAUUGGCCCGACGAUGUCAACAUGAAGGUACUUGCAACAAGAUGAAACCGAUCCUGAUGUCGAUAUGUUUGAACAACCGACUCUUACGUUGUCGUCGAUCUAUUAAUAACUUGAGCUGCAAGAUGACCCGGUUGCUCUCUUCUGCUGGGGUAAACCUGGCCGAUUGGCAUGGCCGGGACAUACGUACAUUUGGCCUCACUGGCCUGAUAUUGAAGUCUGAAAACUGAAAGCAACGUACAGCUGUCUCCAUCCAAUUCCAAUUUUCAAACCAGUUAGUGUUCGUUUGUUGCAGGAAACGAUGUUAGUUGAACUGUGGGGAUAGCAAAGUAUAUGGACCAGGCAAUAAUCAAAGUAGCAGAAGAGUUGUGUACGUGGCUGAGCACAAAUGGAAGAUGUAAAGGAGUAGAAAGCUUUCUUCGAUGAAACAAAGGAGAAAGAUGACUGCAGAGAGAAACAGAAGUUCAACGGAUAAAACAAUCAGUGAGUGGUUAAUUUAAUUUACUGGGAAUGGUAUAUAUAUGGAUGUUCUUUUGGAUAAAUUCCUCACAUCUUACUGCAGAAACAUAGUAGCUAAAGUGGGGCAUGCGUAUGCUGUUGCUCAACAAAACUAGGGUUUGCAACCACCCUUCUCAGUUUAUGCCCGGAAGUAGUUGAAGGCACAUUUGCAUAUAUGUCAAUGCCAUUCUUCUUGCUCUCGAACUUUUUUUUAAGUCAAAUAGCUUGCUAGUCUCAAAUCCUUGUUUGAUUAGUUGAUCUAUUAGUUCUGACCCUGCUGCAGCUGUAACGUUAUGUUUGUGUAAUAUGAAAGCAACCUGAUGACUAGAUAAUUUCCACAUCCUUCGAGAUUGAAGACAACGAAACCAUUCUCUUACUCAACUUCAACCUGAAAUUGCUUUGUUAGAUGCUAAAGAAAUCAUAAAUUUGAUUAAGAUCUCUGCGUGCGUUAUAACUUAUGAAUCAAGUAUUAGUGAUCGAUCGAUUAGAAGCAAUCUGCUGCCUUGAUCUAAACUCUUCACACCGACUUUCCAAACUUAGCAGUUCUGAAAGAGUCAGCCCAAACUUGGCUUGCAAAGUCUGAGCAUGAUUUCAUGAAUUACUGGCAACUUUUGGUGCCAUGAUGCAGAUCGAAACGUACGUACUAUUGAUAAUCAUCAAGAUUAUCAUAUUGAGAUUGUAUAUUCAAAUGAUUUGUAUAUUCGCUAAGUAAUGUAGUGAUCACGGAUCUGAGAUCAGAUUAGCUAAUAUGGGAAUGAAUUCAAAAUCCGUAAUAUACACUAAUUAAUUUGACCAAUAUUUAUGUUUCACUAUGAUAAUGAUCUAUUCCUAUUUCCCAGCAAUUCAAUCAGUUUGGUUUGAACUUUGAACAAGAUACUCCACUAAACUGUAUAUUAUACAGGGCCCUUCCAAUGAGGGAUCCCUAUUUUAAGUUAUUUAUAAGGAUAGGGCAUUACACCAACUUCCCGAUUAUAAUUUUACAUCUCCACCGUUCAUAUCUUAGGUCUAUAUGAGUAGAUCACCUCUACAAAAUUUCAUAUGAUUUGGUGAUUGUUAAGGCUUUCAAAAGUUCAAUUUAGUUUUAAUGACCUUCAACGGUUUUAGUUUGACAUAAGCUGGACCGUUCAAAAUCAUUAAAACUAAAUCAAACUUUUGAAAGUCUUAACGAUCACCAAAUCAUAUGAAAUUUUGUAAAGGUGAUCUACUCAUAUAGACCUAAGAUAUGAACGGUGGAGAUGUAAAAAUUCAAUUGGGAAGUGGUGUAAUGCCCUAUCCCUAGAAAGUGACCAAAAAUAGGGAUCCCUCAAUGGAAGGGGGCUAGUAUAUUAUAUCCUAACAAACUUAUGGGCCAGAGUUCAUAUCAGAUGGAUUGGAUUGGCUAUUCACUGAAGUUUUAAGUAGUGUGGCUCAAUUCCUCAAUAUAUAAUUUCAAGGCCCAAGUAUGGGUGCCAAUCUAAGAGCAACCAGUGUUGCGCAAAACCUAAUUUUAACCUAAUCAAGUGACCAAGUCGAUCUCACAUAAAUUAGGCAUGCAAAUUAUUGCUCACUUUAUCUGAACGUCGGACGAGCUAGCCAGAGUCUCCACCGACACAGCUGGGAGGUUGGCAACUUGUCAUCGGCCAAGUCAUUGAUCUCCGAUAAUAUAUAUCUUAAAAUCCCAAUCAUCUUUGCAAACAAUCUCCAAACAUAUAUACUACAACCGAUAAGUUAAAUCUACUUCUGUUUUGUUUUCAGUGAGAUCCAAACCACAAAAGAUGGCUCCGGAAUCCUCUUAAGCAUAACAGAGAAGAUAAGCAUGAAUUCAUACAGGGUCGGGUAUAGAUUCGAUUAGGUUGGAAUGCAUUUCUGGUUUUUGGUUAUUUUACAAACUAGAAAACGUACAAGUCCGACAUGAUCAACAUCAAAUGCAAUUGGAAUAUAUCCAUUUUUGUGACAUUUAUGGUUGAAAUGAUGAUGUAUAUACAUAUAUUGCAAAUGGAAAACUGUGCUAUGUGUGUCAAAUACCAACAAGAAAUCCCUGUCUCAGAGAUAUAACCAAUAUAUGGCCGCCCAAACAAAUUAAUCAAGUAAACAGUGGCAUAUAUAUAUAUAUAUAUAUAUAUAUAUAUAUAUAUAUAUAUAUAUACGUAACGUNNNNNNNNNNNNNNNNNNNNAAAUAUAAACAAAUGUUGUAGAACCAUAUCAAAUUCAAAUGUAAUCCACAAGAAUUUUCCGAUCAAGAAAUAUAUCUGGACCAGCUAGCUAGCUGGCUGUUGAUCUAUUCAAUCCUUCCUAACAUAAACCGCAUAUAUCGAUCAUAUAUCUUUUCCUCGAUCACUCUUACAAAGUGGACGCCCGCAUUCUUAAUAGAGAACGAGGAAUUGCAUGUUCUUGAUUAUUUUGUAUGUUGUGAAGGUCAUAAGAACUGUGUGUAAUGAUUCUAUGGUAAAAACAACAGUACGUAUGUAAUAGUCUAAUCUUCAUCAUUUGAGAGGCUGCGGAAUGAAAUGACUAAAGCGGCCAUAUCUCUUUGUUUACAUCAAAAUAUAUCACAACUCUUAACAUAUAGCUAGGUGACGUACAGUUGCAAAUGUAUACGUCCUACAUAUAUAUACUUCGAUGGUAAUUAGAACUCUAACACACAAUAUAGUAAAAUUUUAAAACUGUAAAUGCCAUAGAGCAGAACAUCUGGCUUCACCUCGUUCGUUCUUGCAUGGAUGCAACGCACCCUUCUAUAUCUACCUCAAUUGUUAAUCAUAAAUCCAACCAUCUAUCUAUAUAUAUGUUAUAAUUAAUCAUAGAAGUUAUCAUUACAGAAAAAUUUGAGUAUACGGAUGGCAUUGCCACUUGUAACGAAGUAUGAAUCACUAAAUAAUUCCCGUAAUCAAAGUUUUAUUGAAGAAAGUAAGGCCAAAGAAAAAUGUCAAAUGACAACUUAACCAAACUUGGGAUGAUAUGCAUUUUUAUGGCUGCACGUCGUUCUUGAAUUCUAAAUUGGGGGAACUCCAUCAAGAAAAAAGACUAAUUCAAAACAAAAAAGAAAAACUCAAGUUAACCAUACUUUAGGGCUAAUUCAAAUUUACAUCAAGAAAAACUAUAGACUGUUUCUUUUAUAAGAAGCUUAAUGGUAGCUUAAUUUAUCGUCUUCUAAGCAAAAGGCUAAUUGUUUAUGAGCCGGCAAACAACUUAUGUUUGUCAAAGUCAUACUCGAUUCAGCAUAUAUACACUACUUGCAAACUUUAUAUCACAUUCCAAUUUAUUACAUAGUAUGAAUAUUCUGCUAACGAUUCAUUUCACAUCCAACAUUACUUGACACAUAUAUUUAGUCUUUAAUAUGUGUUAAUAACGCAAUGUUGAGCCUUAUCAUAACACAUUAAGUUAUCGUGUAAAAAAAUAAACGUCUCUUCAGUUAAUAUAAUGCAGUCAUUAAACUCAUGAACAUUCAAAGUAUUAUGCAUCUCAAUAAUGGUGUGGUGCACUGCUAGAUCUCCCAAAGUGUAUCUUCCACAACCAAGGCAAGAUCAUCAGCACAAGAAAAUUUCUUGUUUAAUCAAAUUUCUUCACAAAAAAAAAAACAGAGGCCGACCGCCGACCUGUAUGAGGCGCUCAUUGUUCGCGGAAUAUAAUAAUAAACAAAGAUUGGGCGGGGGGAUAAUUGCCCCGCCUUUCCAGGCUUGCAGGCCAACUCACCCAAAGGGCACAACCGUCUUUCCACCUCCAUCUUAAGAGAUCGUCGUCCUCUUCAUUUUUUAAUUUCCAAAUCUUUUUAUUUUCCAACUGUUUCUUCUUGUUUUCUCUCUGCUUUCUUCUCCUUCUUCUCCUCACUCUCAUAAUCCCAUGACCACCACCCAUUUCAACCGCAUUCUCACUCCGCUUCUUCUUCUCCGGUCGUGAAACCCCUCGCCACCCUCCGAUGGCCGGCGCCGACCACCACCACCGCGCGUCGGAGCUUCUGCAACUCGUCCACGACGUCGUCGGCGCCGAUAAGUCCUCCGCCGCCGGAGUGUUCAGGAAGGAAUGCACCGAUCUGGUGCGGCGGAUCGCGCUGCUGACGCAUUUGUUCGAGGAGAUUAGGGACUUCAAAGGCCGCGAGUUUCUAAAUGCUUCCACUUCUUCCGGCUCGUCGGAGCCUUGGGUUUCCGAUCUGGUCACGGCUCUUCUGGCCGCGAAGCGGCUAGUAGUCAACUCCAGCUGCGCCGCUCCUGUGCUCGCAGUAAGUCACUGUUUUGCUAUGCUAUUACCUCUCAGAUUUUUCAAUUUCAAUAUCAUAUCUUGUUGUGCUGUAGAAUCGGAAUGUACUAUACUUCAUAGCGGAAUCGAUAGUUGUUAGUUUGUGUUUAGUCGAUUUCGCAGUUUUUCGAGCUGUUCUGAGCUGAAUUAGUAGUGAAAUCGGAGGUGAAUUUAUGUUUGAAUUGGUUUGUGAUGAUCAGGAGGAAGCAAAGAAGAAGAUAAGCUUCCAUUUCCAAUGCGCCACCUGGAAAUUGGAGAAGGCGCUGGGUGGAAUACCGUAUGAUCAGUUCGAAAUCUCAGAGGAAGUUGAAGAACAGGUGAGACUGACCGAUUCGCUAGAAUCUUGUUCAUUUACUAAGCAUUGAGCUGUUUUAUUUUUUCGUUUACAAAUUCAAAAGAUUUAUGAGUAAAAAGGGUUCUUUUUUUGGUGAAUGUGGUUAGGUUGCAUUGGUUAGAUCACAAUUGAGAAGAGCGAUUGAAAGAUAUGGGUCGUUGGUUACGAGGAAAAUGUCAUUCCAUUGCCUCCCUCAGUCUCUGGUAGAGUCUGGCAAAUGGGUGCAUGUCGUGGAGGAUAAUAGUAGUUCAAAGAUGACGAACAGUCUUCCCAAGAGCUUUAGUGCUGAUGAUCUGGUUCAUAAAUUGCAAAGGAUGAGUAAUUUUCGUGUGGCAGAGUUGCCCUCACUCUGCUCGACAAAUGGAACUCAUGUUGUUGGUGACGAAGAUAUGAACAAGAAGCCUGACGCGACUGUCAUCCCUGCUGAUUUUAUAUGCCCAAUAUCUCUGGAACUCAUGAGAGAUCCUGUUAUUGUGGCCACUGGUCAGGUAUGCUAGAUGCUAAAUCGGUUGUUUCACUUUCUAAAUCCAUCAAAGUUCUUGCCUUGGCUAUGGUAUUUUGAUUUAUUCCUGAAACUCAACAAUCUUUGGCUUGCUGGUUCUGCAGACGUACGAGAGAUCUUACAUACAGAGAUGGAUAGACUGCGGAAAUACAACCUGUCCGAAAACUCAGCAGAAGCUUCAAAACUUGACAUUAACUCCAAACUAUGUCUUGAGAAGUCUAGUUGCUCAGUGGUGUAUUGACAACAACAUUGAGCAGCCAACGGGAUUAACAAACGGUAAACUCAAGAAGAGCGAUGGAUCCUUUCGUGACAUUAGUGGGGACAUAGCGACCAUUCGAGCUCUGGUAAGCAAGCUUGCAGGUCGAUCAAUUGAGGAGCGGAGAGCAGCUGCAUCAGAGAUUAGGUCACUGUCCAAAAGAAGUACUGAUAACCGAAUACUUAUUGCAGAAGCGGGUGCUAUUCCAGUACUGGUCAAUCUCUUAACAGUAGACGAUGGCUUAACACAAGAGAAUGCAGUAACGUCCAUUCUCAACCUCUCUAUAUAUGAAAACAACAAGGGGCUCAUAAUGCUUGCUGGUGCUGUUCCUUCUAUUGUCCAAGUCCUAAGAUCUGGAAGCAUGGAGGCGCGAGAGAACGCAGCAGCGACCAUUUUUAGUCUGUCGCUUGCUGAUGAGAACAAAAUAAUUAUAGGUGCAUCAGGAGCAAUUCAAGCUCUGGUGGAAUUGCUUCAAAAUGGGAGCACAAGAGGGAAGAAGGAUGCCGCAACAGCGCUGUUCAAUUUGUGUAUUUAUCAGGGCAACAAGGGCAGGGCUCUCAGAGCGGGGAUAAUUACAGCUUUACUAAAGAUGCUAACUGAUUCAAGCAAUUGCAUGGUUGAUGAAGCACUGACCAUUAUGUCAGUUCUUGCUAACCAUCAAGAGGCAAAAGUUACUAUAGUAAAGGCCGGCACAAUACCUGUUUUGAUAGACCUUUUGCGGACAGGUCUGCCUAGAAAUAAAGAGAAUGCAUCUGCCAUAUUGCUCGCAUUGUGCAAGAGAGAGACCGAGAACCUUGCCUGCCUAAGUAGGCUUGGUGCAGUCAUACCAUUGACAGAGCUCACCAAGAGCGGAACAGAGAGGGCCAAAAGGAAGGCUAGUUCAUUGCUGGAGCAUCUUCGGAAAUUGCAGCAUGUGUAACAACAGGCCUACACGGGUAACGCCAUUGAUUUCCAAAUUGUUAAUCAAUAUCCCUCCAAAUUUUUUUGUUUCUUUCUCAAUGUAUGUUCCACUGUUCCUUUUUUUGUGGUGUGAAACUGAGAAUACGAGAUUGAGAUGAUCAAGUCAAUCGAUCUCAAUGCAUUGUAUAUUCAUUUUCUUCCUUGUUCAAGAGUGCAAAGUGCUGAUUUAAUACAUUGUUCUGCUGUAACAUUCUUUUCCUUCACUCACAAGACGCGCUUUUCCUCCUAAUACCAUUCUUCUGGUAAUCCAAAUGAGAAGCAAACCUGUUUAUGGAUAAUUGAAUUUCCGGGUCAUAGACAGAGUUUCUUUGCUGUAAUCGUGGGCUCAUGAGACCUACCAAGUUGAUUAUGAGUUUGGUUUACAUCUCAUAAAGUAGAUGAAAGGACACUUAAUAAGAUGAUCACGUUUACAACUGUACUUUGACAAUACAACAAUAUUCCUGUUGAUUUUGGAUGCCAUUGUUCGUUGAAUUUGGGGUAUCAAAUCCUUAUCUUUAGGAUAGUGACCGUCUACAUCUUCUGUAGUAAAUUAGUACCUUAAACUUCACCGCCCAUGUCUUUGGUUGAUCACAACUUACAAGCAUUCGAUAUGUCUUAUUGAUCCGGACCUGGUUUUGUCCAGUAAUAGGGCACUCCUUACUCCUUAGUAAGCAUUCGAUUUGAUUUCAGCCGAGAACGACGAUUAGCGCUAUCGUCGCCAAAUGAUGUUGUCCUUAAUGCUUUAGGAACAAUACUAGUGUUACUCUGCCGGAGAAUUUCUGUUGGUGUGCUUCCUUUACUCCACCGGACGGCAUUCUAAAUCAUGUAAAGAUUCUGAUGUAGGAUGAGAAUGGGCCAAACUUAGACAAAAAAAAGAAAAAGUUAGGAAGCGGCGAAUAAUAAAAAAGAAUGAUUUGAAGAUCGGUAAUUCACGUGUCAAGAGGUUGCUAGCUGUUGUAAUAUUCAAGAUGUUGUUUUGGACUUUCUGGGUUGUUUGUGCGAAAUCUGAUUUCCAGAAACAAAUAUGAUUUAAAGCAACUUUUGACCAGAAUGUCUGUUUGGAACGCAUAAUACAUUUUCGGAAUGAGAAUGACGAGAUCUAUAAGACUCAUUAUAGUGAGCCCUUUCAAAUUAAGGCCAAAAGAUAUUGUUUUAUUAAUCCGAUUCGACAUUUAGUAUUAUUUUAGGUUUUUUUAGUUUAUUUUAGAUUUUGUUUUCUUUUAACCUAAUUGGCUUUUAGGCUUGGUUGUUAGUUGCUCUAGGGUUUAUUUUCCUAUAUAAGGACAUUUAAUUGGUUGUAGUCGUCAGCUUUUAAUAAUAAUAAAACCCUUGAGUUUAUCUCAAUUCUCCGGUGAAUUCCAGAUUCUCUCAUGGAUUCGAGAAAACCUAGGCUUGUAGAUUCAAGUCGCUGAUUCCAACAUUUAUAUUUCAGCUGCAUCAGAUUCCCUGCUUGUUUUCUUUCGCAAUGUCGACAGAGCGGUAUGCAUUGAACAUCUUCCUACUCAGAGCUCAGUUUUGGAAGUUCCAAAGUCAUAAAGCACGUUUAUAUUGGAUGGUUUAUGAACCCUACUAAAUACUAAUGAAUAAGCUCGUCGGUUUGGUUUGAUUAGUUUGGUGUAAAGCAUAAAGCAUGAGUACGUUGGAAUUCCAUUUGCCCCAAAAUGAAUAGUAAUAGCUAGAUGACGAGACAGAAAAAUACCGGUAUAAUCUUGCUUCACGCAAACUUAGUUUACAUCGUAUUUGGGAUAGAUAGUCGCAUCAAUGUAGUAUCAAUUUGAUCCAUGUUUGUUACAAGAUAACACAUUGAUCAAUUUUUCACUGAGCAUAUGUUCAAUUUGUAAUCCAAACGAAGACGAGAGACUGUGGAGGACAGCACUGAUGCAUUAGAUGCGUACCUGGAACUAAUACCAACAUUCUACAUUUCUACACGUUAACUUCGAAUCAUAGUUGCUUAAUUGGGCAUUGAAACUUUCAGGCUAUACGUCUAUCAAAAGAAGAACGACAAUUACGUAUACAAAGGAUGAUCGAGUCGGUGAAAUUUCAUUCUUUCUUUUUGUCUAAGAUGAUCUUAAACUUUAGCCGCUUUUUAAUUCCAAGUUGAUGAGCUGAGACCAUACUUUUCACCCAACACUAGUCUCAGUCUACUAGUCCACUUCAAUGUUCUCAGAGUAUAUACACAAUGAGAAGCCCGAAUUCAGAUGAUUAAAUCAAAGAGGUAAUGUCAAUUAAAGGGUUGUUGAAUCUUAAAAAAAGAAAAACGGCUUAGAUAUGCUUAUUUGUAUCCGAAGCAAAUCCCAAUUAUAAAACUACAUUUUGAGUCUAACUACUGUUCCAAAAGGACUGGCCAACCGCGCCUUGAGGCUCAAGUUGAGGCUCAAGGUAUUGACAAAACACGAGUCUUAAGGCUUUGUCAUAAACUCAUCAUAAUCUUAUUGUUGAUAGAAUAUGUCAAUAUGAUCACUAGGACUUGCUUUAAGUGACGGUUUCCCUUGAAGAGGCACUUUAGGCAUUACCCUCGCUUGUAAUGUGAGCACGGGCACGGGAUUGGCAAUCAAAGAUGAGUAGACAUAAGCACCGUUUGCCUCGCUAGCAAUGGUUAUCCACCCUUAAUCUCACUUGAAGUGAACAUCACUAACCUUGCUUAUCAUAUAUACCGGCAGUUAACAUCGCUUGCUGGAGCUAGGAAUACACGUUUAGAGGGGUCAUAUAAAGAAUUAGUAUGUAAUUUUUUCAUCGAAACUUGAUAAUUUAACUAGAUGGUAAAGAUAACUGAAGAAACCAUGGGAUACCAUGACACCCUUUGGUCUAGUCGUAGCUCCGCCUAUUCGCUUGUCAUGCCGAUGUUAACCUCAUUUCAGUCACUUGCAUAUGAACUUCAUGAUCUUUCAUGAUAAGGCUUAGGUCUAGUCGUACAUGAAUGCCUCUUUGUCUUUAGAAUACACGAUCUCAAGUACGUAAUCCAAAGAGAAAUCUUAAGCACGAGAGCCGUGAUUAUCGUAAGUUGUUUGUUCACAUUCUUUGAAUAUGAACAAAUAGGAUUAUGCAAUCAUCUUUGUUCCAUACAUCACGGGUUUUUGGAGCUAUAUCCAAUGGAAUAUGAACACACGAUGGUUGUUGAAAUAACAAAACCCUGUUUAAACGACGACAAUUUAGGGUCGAAAGUGAAAGGUUACGUACUUUAGGCUUUUGUCAUAAACUAACCUCUUUCUAAAUAAUUGCUUUGUUUGACCAACGACCAUUUAUAUGGGAAUCGUUCUCUCAUACCUAUCCUGGAACUCCUUCUCUGCAUUACCCCAAAACACUAUUAUCAUCAUCUGUGAGAGCGAGCCAACCCAGCUGAGGGAAUUUGGAUCCCAAUGGGAAACAGUUUGGGAAGCAAAAAGAAAGCAAAGGUUAUGCAAAUUAGUGGGGAGACAUUGAAGUUGAAGACGCCUGUCCAAGCUGGUCAGGUAAUGAAGAACUACCCUGGUCACGUUUUGCUUAAAUCCCAAGAGGUAAAGCAUUUAGGGAUACGAGCAAGGCCUUUGGAGCCACACCAACACCUUGAGGCCAAGGGAGUCUACUUCCUUGUGGAGUUGCCAAAGGCAGCUGCAGCUCAUAGUUUUAGUGACAAAGUUCCGAGGAGAGUCCGGUCCGGAAUAAACAUGACUGCCAAGGACAGGCUUGAGAGUUUAAUGCUGUCUCGGAGGUCGGUUUCCGACCUCUCCAUGAUGAGAUCGAUACCCGAGAAAUCUCAUCAAGAUGGGCCGGUGAGGGUGAGGAUGAGGCUUCCCAAGGCUCAAGUUGAGAUGCUGAUGCAGCAGAGCAGAAAUGAGGAAGAGGCGGCAGAGAAGAUUGUGGAUCUCUGCAUGGUUAAUGCCAACAUUGGUGGUGAGUUCAAUGAGAAGGAUGGUCAUGGAAAAGUGGUUAAACAAGCCACCAAGAUGCGUGAGGUAUGGCUUCUUCUUCUUCUUGUUUCUAAGACAUGGAUCCUGUUUUUGUGGCAUUUUAAGUGGUUUCAGUUUUUGACAUUAUGGUUCAGUUUCGGUUUUGCUUGCUUGAAUCAUUGAGUAGAUAACAGGGAGACAUUCAACUAAGUUGGUGGACCGUACCUAUAACUAAGUACAAGUUAUAUGACAGUCUAUUCUAGUAUUCUUGGUUGUUGGACCUAGCCUAAUUAGGAAUAUUUGAAUGAGUUUUAAUGUUUUAUAAAUAAUUUUCACUAUGUGAUUAGUGCUCUGAUCCUUGACACAGAUUAGUUUCUAAGUUUAGAAAGUCUUUAAGAACACCAUGUGAUUUUGAUGAAAAAGAAAACUGUUUUCUCAACUCUCAAACAUCCCUUGAACUUGGUCUAAGCUCAAGCCAGAAAAAAAAAAACCUUGACACUUUAACUUCAGGUUUUCACAAAUAGUGUAAGAAACCUACUUGUUCAUACAUACACUGUGACAAUCAAAAUGAGACUAUAUGAUAAGAAUGAUCAGACAGUCAAACAUUUCACCUGCUUUAUCAGCGUAGUGAGCAUUGCAAUAUGUAUGGUGCUUAGACUUUGCUACCCACCUUAGCUGGUUGGACUUGAACCCAACUUUCAUAUGCAUUUUAGGGAAGUUGGUUACAAUGAGCACUAAUUAGUCAACCCUCUGUUACCACACAACAUGUUUUGGUAGCAUCUUCAAGGGAAACCCUUUUUUUUAUGUUUGACAUUUUGCUCCAAUUAGCACUCUACAAUCUACAUCCUAAAACUUACGAAGUUUAAGCAACUAUCACAAUGAGCACUAAUAUGUGAACGCUAAAUCAUUUUCAUUCUUGUUUUGGAUUGCUUGAACCUGCAGAAGCGAGUGAGCUUCCGAAAUGAAGGAGAAAUACAAAUAGCUGUGGGUUCUUAACAAGUAGAGGGCAGCUGGUAAUCGAAAUGUUCGUGGCGGUCAAGAAUCGAAGGCUAUAUGCUGUCUAUAGUCUCUUUCAGUUUGCCCAGUUUCAGAUCAACCAACUGAUGUAGAAUGAGUGCUUGAUCUUCUUUUCUACUUAUCAUAUGAUGUGAACCCAAAUAUACAGUAUAGAUAAAAGUUGGAUUUUAAGGUUAAAGAUGUACAACUGAAUUCUAUCCCAAAAGUGCAUUCCUAAGCUUUCCGGAAUUGCAAGGUGACAUAAGGUAGCUGUGUACAUGUGAAUUAAAAUGAACAUGUGCUUGGAAAUUUCAUGGCAUGCUCUUAACAUGCAUUCCCAGAUUCAUGUACAUGUGCCCAGAAACUUGAAAAGAGUAUAGCAUGAGACCAAUUGAACAUUGAUAUUUUACUGAUGAAGAACAUGGAACCAGAAAUCCACCUAUCAAAUUUUUACAGUAGUCUACGUUUACAUCACAUUGCUAAGCCUACUUCACCCUAGGACUGGUAACUUGAACAAAAUAACAGUUGCCAGCUCCAGACAGUAACUUGGGUUACUUUCUGCCCCAUAUACAAAAGAAAGGGAAGAAAGAAAAACCCACCCCCUCAAAAAAGAAAAAAUUAUCAGAUGGAGGGAUUUCCCUCCUCUCUGUUUAUCAGCAGCAAUACCCCUAUUUUAUUAAUGAACACAUUUAGUGGAUAAAAGAAUGAAAUGAUGCAGUUCAGGAAGACCAUUGAUCAGGUACAGUGAGAAAAUAGGUAGUCAUUGCCUUACGGAAUCUUUUCUUGUAUUGCUUGGGAGAGAUUAUUGUUGGGGAAGAAUUCUUCGGACCACCAAGUAUGCCAGAUGCCUUGACCCAGGUCUCCAAAUGCUUGUCCCACGUAUAUUGUCUCAUGAAAUCAAUGAUCCCCAAAACCAGUUCCUUCCGCUCAUCGUCUACCCCAACCAGCAGCGAGUAGUCCAUUACAUCAACAGACUGUAGCAAAGGCAGUUAUUCAAUGAGUGCUAUUAUAUUCAGAUUUUAAUCUGGUUCAGAUAGAUGCAAUUGUAGGCAUAGCUGAUUUUACUUUUUUAAAUAAAUUAUUAGCAUUUAUAACUGAAAGCAGCACUUUUUCACCUGAUGUUUUGAUCAUAUGAGAUGACACAUGACAGUGUCCAUUCUAAGCACAGUCAAAGCUGUGAUACAUUUGGAAAUAAUUUUAAAAAUCUCAAUGCAUCCAUGGUAUAAAUCUGUGAGAUGCAAGAGAAAGGAAAGGGGGUGAAGGGACAGAAGGCAUACCGCUAAAAAGUUUGUGUCAUUCCAAAUUGAUCUUUCCAGGCUUCUCUUCGCUUUGCUUCCAAGAAAUAUGGGUUUUGUACGGAGUGAUUCCAACAAAUUCAUGUCCAACAGUACUUUGUUUGCGCCUGUAGUAUCAGAAUUGUAACGUGAUCGAGCAGACCCCUUGAGAUCAUAUACCCUUGAUAUAUUUCUUUUAAAGAAAAGGUUCUCCAUCACCAUCAAAUCCAUUUUAGUUUCCUUCCCACCUUUCAGGUGUUUAACAGUGACCUGCCAACACACCCAUAUCACAAAAUCAAAGUCAAUACUCAUCAAGAUGCCUAUACAACAACAAAGAAACAAGAAACCGAGAAGGAAGUCCUAACCUGAUAUAUACCAAGAAUUUUUGCAAGACAAGUAGGGCUUCCAGAGCCAAGAGAAUCUGUCAAAUAUUUGAAAUACUCGGGUGCAAAUUCCUGAAAGGAUUCCAACUCCGUCUUUGUAACCUGCUUUAUGAUGAAUCUAUCAUCCAAUGAUUUGGCAAAAUAUACAUUGCUUUUCCCCCCUUGUGCACUCCAUCUUUGGCAGCGGCUCAAGGAUCGUACAAAAUCCACUUCAUUAGGGCAGCAUAUCUUCCUAAGAGAGUCAAAAUGCUUUGCAAAAUAACAAGUCACAGAAAACUUCACUUUGCCUCCCGCAUUUGAGGACUCGUCCCCAAAGGAAAUCCUUAAGUGUGGAGAUUUCUUGGGAUCUGCAAACAAGUUACUCAUAGAUGAUGAAGCAUCUUCAGAUCCAUAACUUCCAUGGUGGAUAUAAUCCAAGUCCAUAGAACCAAAAGAUUGCCAUGGUGAAAAGGUGGGAGCUGCUGAAUCUUCUUUGAAGCUUUCAUGAAUGUUCCAAGUGCCCUCAUGCUCAUUCAACUUAUCACCAAUCCAGUCCUCGUAAUCCUUAGAACUAAGGGCAUACGAUAUAAUGCUUGUGGGCUCACUGUCAUAAACACCAACAACUACAUUAUUGUUGGUUGUCUGAGAAAGCAGCAACCGGACUCCAUCAGCUAUUUGAGAUGCAGAGGAGAUAAAUGAGGGUGUGGAACUUAGUAUUACGUUUAACUUCUGAGCCUCUGACGGCAAUGCCUGAGAAUAAGUCCUUGUUACACUAUAAAGAGGAUCUCUCAUCAUACUCCUGUAAUCUCCAGAAGCAUGAAAUGAUCGUAGUGUUGACAAAUGCAACGAAGAAGGUGGCAACCCUUUCCUUAUCCUUUCUUGAAAUCUUACAGCUGAAUCAAACGAGUGAACUCUCAUUGGUGACACCAGCUUUCUGAAAGGAGGAUCAUCAAAUUGGCUCGUUGGCCUAACAGCAGCAGGUUGGACUACAUCUGCCUGUGAUGCAUGAAGUGGUUGAGCUUUCACCAAAAGUUGAUCAGUUCCCGUCCAUGCAGAAUCUAUUCUCUCAGAAAGAGUAGAAUUAUGAGAGGGUAAGCUUUCAAAGGAUGUCUCAUCAACAACAAUAUCCCUAUCUGAAUGCAUAUCCUCCUCAGGUUCUUUGUCUGACAGCAAAUCAUUUCCAGGAGGCACCAGAAAUUUUGGAGAUUCAGACACAUCACUACCUUCAUGGGCAAAAUCAAGUCUGUCAUCCUUACUAGAUGGAUCAGUACUCAAUUCUUGCAGGUAGCCAGCAGAUACAACCCCAUUUGUAGCCCUGGAAACUGGAUUCUUCUGAAUAAGUGAAUCCAACGAAUAAAGCUGGCGAUCCCAAACAUGAGAACCAAUUAAAAGAGAUCUUCUUAAGCGAUUUAACUCCAGAACGUCUACUACAGCCAUUUGUCCAGGGUCAGAAGUCUCCACGAUAGCAGGUUGCAGAAAACCCUAUUAACAAACAAGGAAACUAGAUUCAAUUUCCAUAAGGCAUUAGAAAAGAAAUAACAAUAACAACACAAAACAAUUACGAGGAUAUGCACUUGAGCUUCCCAUGUAACUAUCUGAUCAGUCACAAUACUGAGUUUUAUACUUACAAUGUAGUCAUUCCUCUCCUUUUUAAGCUGAUCUUUCAGCUCCACAAUGUGGUUCUGUAAUCCACCUGCACCUGACAUUUCACAUCCAAAAGAUCUAUUCUUUUCUUCCAUGUGGUCAAGUACAUCAGAUAUCUCCGCAUAUAAGGUUUCCAUCUUUCCCAUGAGCUGAUAUAUAAAAAAUAUUAAAUGAAUGGUACUUAGAAUUGUGAUGUAAGUAUCAUAAACUACAUAACUGGUUGAAUACCAGUCCAGGAAAAAUCAUUAUUAAGUGGAAUUAAGUUCUCUAAAGCACCUCUGUUGCCUCUUUUCUUAUCCAAUCUGGUUGAACUUGGCCAUUGAAUUCAAGCACCGAAGGUGGCAAAUGGACAGAAAGAAUGUCAAUGGGGGAAUAUCUGAAGAAUGCCACCAUGCUCCCGAAUCUGUUACACAACAGUAGUCAAUUUUUUUGUUUUUAUAGGAUCACUUAAUAUGAAAAAAGUUAAUAGCCAAUCCAACUAGUACUUACCCAUAGUAACGGAGACAGUCUCGUUGCAAUGAAUGACCACAAGUAGCAACACGAUUAGCAGUUGCAUGGUUUGAAAAGCUAAGUUCCAAGAACUUUCCAAAAGAAAGUCCCCAGGCAGCAUCUGACAUGACUACUCUACGUGUUGCCGGUGGAACUCCAUCUAUAUGGGCACACCUCAGACAACGGUGCCACAUCCAUAUUUUACCAUCUCUUUCCCCAGGUAGCUUCAUUGAAGGAAGGCGUCUCACAUUAAUGGUAAGGUUUCCUUGUUGAUGGGUGUAACAUGAAACAUGGGCCUCGGUUGGCUCUUUACAAGAUCGACAGAAAGAUGUCUGCAAGUUAUGAACCUCAUUAGCUAUAAUUCCAUUCUAUAACUUGGAAUAUUAUAAAACAACAAAGAACUACCUGAUCAAAUAGGUCAUCACGAAGGUAUCUGCCCAGUGGCUUAUCAAAGCAGCCAUAGAACUUUAUUCGCAGAAGUCGGGAGCGUUCACAAACAGUUCCUUUCACACAAUGGCUUGAAAAGGAUACCAAUAUGCUUUGAUGAGUGUCAGCAGUAGAGAAGUACUCACUGGAAGGCUCAUUCUGAUCAAUCUUCUCAGAGCUCGUCAAUUCAUGAAUAUCCUCAUGUUGACUCUCAACAUGAGGCAAGGUAUCUUGCAACUCCAGUUGGGAAAUACAUUUUGUUGCAGCAGACUGUGCAAUCAGUGACGAUAUAUCCUUGUAUUGAUGUGAAGAAGUGUCUGAAAACAUGUGAGAUGCUAAAUCAUCAUUAUAUGGAUCAGAAAAUGCGUUUCCAACCUCAAAGUCCACAGAACCAAUAGAUAAAGGAAAACUAUGGUCAGGAACAAGAUGCCCAGACAAAGAAUCUGAUCUAUCAAUUUCUGGGAUCAAGCCCAAAAUAUCAUCAUCUGGAGUAGAAGCAUCAGCUACAGCUUUGGAAUUGCUCGAAGCUAGAGAAUUAGCUGAAAUUGAGUGUCUAGGUGUCAUCUUGGGCAGAGUAGCACCCUCAUCAACAAGGAAUGAUGUUUCCAGGGACAAAUGAUAAGCUGCAAACACUGCAUACUGAACAACAUGUUUGAUCUUCUUCAGUUGUUCAACACACGCACCUUUCAGUAGGACCUAGAACAGAACAGAAAUUGAUAAGAGAUAACGAAGUUCAAAUUCCUUACGCUAUACCAGGCUAGCAGAUUAUGAGUAAAUUAUAAUAAAACAACUGAAGAUGCUCAAAUUAUAAAAGUAAAGAGAAAUGUUGUAUAGGAAUAUCAUUACCGUGCAACUAAGACGCCUUGGGCACCCUUCAAAAAACAUCAAGGUUUUCACUGGUUUCUUGUUGAACUGAUUAGUUGGCUCAUGCUGUUCAGAAAUUUUUUCCAACCGGAACAAUUCACAAUGUCCCAACCGGGACUUAGGGAUAUCAUCGAUUGAUGGAGUAAUAAGGGCCCCAGUGCACCGAGCUAUGCGCUCUAGUACUGGCCUUUUAACAUUCAGAACUAAUGAUAUUUCCUUUGCUAGCAGAUGUUCUUGAGCAUAUGAAGAUACACUUUUCUCUACCAGCAAAACAUUUGGACGAAGGGCCUCUAUCUUUGAGAUAAUCAUCCUAAGAUGAUCGUUUUCCUGUUCGAAAACAAUUUAUUUAGAACUUUUAUUUUGCAAUAUAUUACAUAAUCAGUUCUUGGAGAAAGACAUGGCUCAGUAGAAUAAAAAUAAAAUGUCAAGAAAAGAAACAAAACCUGAUGCAGUAACGUGUUAAAAGAGGCCAACUGGUUCGGAACUUUCUGAUAUUCAAGUGCUCCCCCUAAGAUAAGUAAUCUAGGAUUUUUGUACUGUGAGGUCAUGCGCUUGUGCUUUAUAUUCUUUGUACAAACCACUCCUUUUAUGAGGGUGCUGCAUAUUAAAAAACGAUCAGUCAAAGAUAUAAAUCGAUCUCGCCUUACACAAAAUCUACUAAUGGACAGGGACACUAUACCUCUCACUUGGACUUCCUGAUGGAAUACAUUUAAUUCUCACAUAAUCACCAGGAUCCAUACUCCCUCCUCGGCUAGUAUCUGGUUUAACAAAAUUUGCAGCUUGCCAUGCUAUUGUUGUUACUAUGUCAAGCCAGUCUUCAUCUCCAUCCUCUUUGCUCAUGAAACCCUCACCUUGUAAUAGCUGUGACACAAGCGCUCUAAAGUGCCCCUGAACCACAGCUCUAAGAGGUUCCUUGUUACCCUCAUUCUGCUUGUCCUUUGUAGGAAACAUGCUUGAAAAGCUACUACUGGAAGAAAACAUUGCACCUGAAUCUCCAAUAUCAUCAUCUUCAUCAUCAUAGGAAAAGAAAUUACUCUCUGCCUCAUCAUUCGCAUCAUCGGGAGGAGGGGGAUACCAGAUCCCAUUGUUUUCAAAAUCCAAUGGCUUCUCAUAUUGGCUGCGGAAAGCUGACAAGUCAUCAGAGCAAUCAUCAGUCAUAUCUGGAUCCUCAGUCCUUGUCUCAGGCCUUUUAAAAACAGCCUUAGUCUGUUGACCCAAGGGGCCAUCACUCUGAGUCACUGGGAUUUCUUGCUGCCUCUGCUGUACUGAAUGCCCUCUAUUAGAAGUGUAGUAAAUUCUAGAUGAGCAAUCAAACUGACUGGAUCCCAGAGACCUCACACUGUAAAACUCACUCCUAGCACUAACACUAUCUAUAUCCAAAUGGUCAUCACAAUAUUCACUUAAAGGGCUGCAAAAGUUCUUUGCCGAAUCUUCUGCCUCUUCUUCAUCACUCCUGCAAAGUAAACAUGGAAUUGAUGAGGAAACUUAAUUACCUCCAUAUCUUGGCAACACUUGAAAAUGAAAUAAAAAACUUUGAAUACUAAAGCAACAAAUCAAUCGAACAUAAUUCCAUAAAGCUUUAAGACUGUAUACAUACCUACUGUGAGAGCGACGAACAGCUACUGGAGAAGGGUAAGAACCCAAUGAAGGCAUACUCCUGACAGCACGGGGAGAACAGCCAAUAUCCGGUACUUCAAGAUACUUUGACAGAUGAUCAGUCACAGUGGAUUCAUCAUCUGCAGAACACUUGAUUGUUUCAUUGCUAAAACACGGGGAUGGUGGUUCAGGGCUUUCUCGAGGAGAAACAGAAGGGUGUACUUUCUCACUACACUUUCUUCCACCUUCCCUCCUUAAACUAACCAAAGAACAAAACUUGCAGAACUUGAUCGUCUCCUCUCCAACCCCAUCACUGCUCUUCAAACCAUCCCAUUCACCACCCUGAACACACUCCCCACAAAUCCACCUCCCACAGCUUUGGCAGUGAUAUCUAUGGCCAACACCACUGGUGUCCUUAUGGCAAUCACAACACAUCUUGCAACCGUUACUCGGCAUAUCCAAAGACCUCAAUUCAGUUCCUCCCCUAGUAAUCCAGCACCUAGCUUUCUCUAUUAGAUCUGGCAGGGAACGAUCAGGUAUUCCCAUAGAAAGAUAUUCCCAUAGAAUUGUAAAAAUCCAACACGAAUACGAACCAGCUCUGGAUCUUCCUCCUCUUUCCAGCUCUUCCUCGAAAACUAAAUUCCUUUUAUUUUUUUUUUCUGUCCUAAAUCUAAGUGUAUGAGACUAAAGCCCCCCACAACAAAAAUGGUGGGAUGUGUAUGGCUUUGAUUAUGAUUUUGUUUCCACUGUUUAACUGUCUAUCCUCUUUUUUCUUCGAAAAUUUGGAAAUCACAACAGAAUGAAAAGUCACAAACCAGUAUCGAAACAGCUAAAAUCGAAAGCACAAAAACUCUAUACACAGCAAAUUCAAUCAACCAUAUCACCACGUAUAACAGUAUCACCUCAGAAGCUGAGCUGAGCUGAACAACAGCACCACCUCAGAGACAGACUCACAAGCGAAAACUCACAGUAAAAGGAACCCUAACCAAUCCCGGAGUCUUCAAGAAUGCACCCGGCGACCGAUUGGAGCAUAUCACAGCGAUCUCAACCAGUCUCCCACAGAGCAUCAGAGACUACGCACCAAAACGACACCGUUUUGGAGGGGAACAGUAUUCUAAUUUGAGCUUGACGAAGAAGAAGAGUGUAGAAGAGAAAAAGGAAGAAGAUUAAAUGCUGGGAAGAAUGAGAAUCAAAAGCAAGAAAAGGAGGAGUACGGAGAAGGUUCCUUUUCUGCCGGAAUCAAAAUCAGCUCGCAUCUCGAGACACAACGCAUUUGCCUCUCUCUCACUCCUUCUUAUUCUUCCUCCUCCGCCGCCAACCACCGCAGCUCCGCCGCAGAUCAUCGUCGUCUGUCUUCUUCCUCUUCAAUUCAUUUUCAGCUCGCUUCUCUCUUCUCUCUCUUUCUUUCUUUUUCCGUUUCAAAUUAGUUUCUUCUGUCUUCUUACAACUGCUAGAAGUUGAAUAUAUUGCUUUUCAAAAAAGCACUUUCAUCUCUUUUCCCAUCUCUUUCAUUAUAAUAUCUUUUUUAUCUUUUCUUUUUUUUUUUUUUUUGGGUUCCAAUCUGGCAAUUAAGGCGGUCAUUGGUCAGCGUGCGAUGCUUAAUUAGGGCUUAAAGUCGUGAUUGAUUAAAUAGUUAGAUAAAAAUAAAUAAAUAAAUAAAGAGUUUUUCUUGUUUUUACAACUAACAGAAAAGUAGGGUGUUGAUUGGUCAGCAUCAGGGUACAGAAGGGAUGGGUUUUACGGAAACGUUUUUUUGGAAACUCAGUCAGCAUUUAUUGGAUUUUGUUGGAUUAUUAGAGGCAUGUUUUCGAGGAUUAAUUUCUUUUUUUUUGCUUGCGCGUGUGUUGACACGCUCUGUGUCAGCAUCUAGAACUAUCGUGGUGGCAUGGAAUGGGUUUGGUGGGUUGGUGGGUCAGGUUUCACGGGUUUUUCAUGACCCGAGAACCAUUCCUUGAUUCGUUUCUUUUGGUUUGACCCGGAGUAUUGGAUGUCCGAAUGGCCUGGUGUGAAUAAUGGAAAAUGAUGAAUUGUCAACCAGUCUAGUGGUAAAAGAUAUCUUACGAUUCAGGUAAUGGUUGAAUAGUUGUUUGUUUGAGUUACAAAUAAUCAUUUUAUGUUUUAUCGAUUCAUUUUUCACGUUCUAUUUGUUUGUUUAUUUAAUUUCGAUUUUCGUUCUGUAGAUCGCAAGUAUGUGAGAUUUUUAGUUUUUUGUCUUUUGAUAUUUAUAUUUUAAGCUAUCAAAUAAUAUCUCUUCAAACAUUUGAGAUAUGAAAUUGAUCAAACCAAAGAAGAAUUCAGACUCAAUGUAAGAGUAAUAGUUCAUAGCGAUAGAUUACGUUUAAGGAUGAAGAUUAUUUGGGGUGUAAGGGGAUCCAAAGUUUUGGACAAACCCCUAAUGCCGGACCCGGAAUGUUUAUGAGACAGAUGAGCAGGGGGAUGCACCAUGUUGCCAAUUGGCAUGUCCCCCCUUUGGCAAAAAUAUAAAGCAAGUAAAGGAGAAAGGAGAGGAGGAUUUGGUAAGCAUCAUAUUUGGUGGGAAGCCAACAUCGAUCUGCAAAAGCCUUACGUGCUUGUGCUCCUUUGCCUUCUCUAGUUCUCUACCGAAAGCUUGGGGGGUUUCUUUUUUCUUUUCUUUUCUAUUUGUAUUGUUCCUUUUCCUCUUGGCCUUUUGCUCUUGGCUACAUAGCUUUGCUUCAUAGUUUUAUUUUCUAUUUUCCAUUUUCCACAUGCUAUGAUCACCGCCCUUUAAAAUUUUUCUUCAUCAAAACCAAACAAACCUCCAUCACCACCCAAAAAGCUAACAUCAACAGUCACCAAAGAUAAGACUCGCAUAGGCAGAGCCGCCCCUACAUCUUCUUCUUCACCAUCUUCAUCAUCAUACCUGACUCAUCUCCAUGUGAAGUACAUACCUAUAAUUCUAAUGGUGGAAAGAAUACUAAUCCCUCUAUGCUUUGUCAAAUUAGGGAUACAGAUCAAGACCCUUAAAGAAUACAUAGCAUUUUCUCUGCCUAACAUAGAAAGCAGGCAAAAGCCUCAUGAAAACCCCACCCCAUCUCUCCCUUAGUAGAGUCAAUAUGCAUGCUACAAUGGAGAACUUUGAUUAUAUUUUAGGGCAUCCCACUAAACCCAAUUUGACCAAGUUUGGCGUGCAUAUAUUUUCCACGCAAGGUUCCUUAAACUUAAUAUAGGCGUGAUGUUAACAUGUCAUCACCCACCUCAUUAGCAACAAAAAUUAGACUCAAAGCUAAAAGUGUAACACCAAUACUAGCUAAGGUUGUAGGAAGAUGCAUUUACUAAAGUAAGGUAUCAUUUUAACAUUAUCCUUCAGAAAUCGAGUCUGGUUUUCAAAUGAUUCAUUCACUUGAAAUUUGAGGGUGGGUUUGUGUUUGUCUAUAACAUCAGAUGAAACUGACUAGGCAUGAAAAUCCACUAGCUUUAUAGAAUCGUGUUGCUUUCUCUAUCUUUAUUCUAACUAGUCGGUAAGGAUUUCAAUAGCAAAUAGAGAGGUUUUUUUUUUCUAUUAAGAUAACUUUUGAACAAAAACGUAUUAUGUGAAUGGUUAAGAUUAGCUAACGUCACUACAUAUGCAUAGUAGAUCUUAUAUAUGGGACGAAUAUGAUGGUUAAGAUUGCAUUGUGAAGUUAUACCAUAAUGUAUAUAAGAAUUCACGGAAUACAUACCGUUAAACUUACUGAGAACAUGUAGUUUGCUAACUAAAACUUUUCAUUUUUCAUGUUUUAAUAAAUCCGCGAAGGUUAUCCUUACAAAAAAUAUCUAUUCCACUUUACAUACAUCAUUUCCGAAGGGAAUUUUGACAUGGAACUGAAGGAUAAGGAUUAUGACUUGAACCAUAUUGCAUGGUGGUCCAAUAAGGAUUAAUAUAUCUGUUUCUGGCUUUUGGGUUAAUUUUCCUACAGAUUCCUGUCUCUUCCUCUCUACCGCCGAAUCAUAUUGUUUGGUUAACCUCUGCAUCAUAUGCAUUACUAUAAUCGUUGAACUUUGCUGCUUGAUGACAAAGAGCUAGUGUGGUUUUAGUUAUGAAUCUUGGACUGCUUUAGUAUUUGGAUAUAAAGUUGAUGUUAAGGCUUGGAUUAGUACAGGCUUUUUGGUUUUUAUAUAUUUCCAUGAAACUACUAAUCAGCAAAUGUAUUCUCAUGAAUAACAAUGUUUACUCAGAAGGUCCAUCAAAGGGUAUAUUAUAUUCCUUGGUUAACUAUUCAAUCCUGGUGAUGGAGAACCAUGAUUGUGAUUUUGGGAGAAAGAGACUCGGACCAAACCUUUCUUUUGGUGUUUUCUUCUUCCUUUGUCAAGAACAGGUCUGGGUUUUAUUUCAAUGUGAUGUGCACAUAUCUGUAACUAGUCAUUGUCUUGAUUUCCCAAUAGAGACUAACAGAUAGGAAGAGUAGUAUUCUGGGCAAUUGCAACUAAUUUUGGGCACUAUCAAAUUGCUAAAUUCUCCCUCAACCAAUAAGAAUAGAAUUGCUGGUAGGUCAGAUCUCAGUGCAGAAUUGAAUUAUAUGAAGCAAACUCAUUAAUCCGAAGUUUACUCUAGGAGGUUGUACAUAAUAAAUACUCGCCCAAUCAGAAUUAAUACUAGUAUCUAGAAUUCUAUAUAUCAAAUGAAGUACUGCUGGUUCUUUAAUAUUGCAGCUGCAAGUUCCACACCUUGUAACUAGGUAGCUUGACAAUCACAUAAUUCACAAGGGAAUGGGAAGGUAGUUGACUCCACCACAGUGCUGCCAUGGAUUUUUUAUUUUUUAUUUAUUUUUAAAUUUUUGGGUUCUUCUUGUUCAGAGGCAGAACUUGAGGAUGAUAUAGCAUUUGGAGGGCUGGAAAGGGUGGACAACCAUUUGAGUGAAACUGGGACUAGCAGGCUUAAGUUUUGUUCUUUCCCCAAACCAAUAUUCUUUUACUCAAAAUGAAGUGGGGAAGUAUGAAGCAUAUAUAACCUCCAUCCAGACUGUGAUUGACUAUUAGGUAUCCAUUAGGGUGUUGCACCAAGAGGUAAACCAUGCUUAGUUUUGACCACCCCAGUGAGCUAGUUGAUGAAAUUGAUCACUUCUGAAAUUUAUAUCUACCAGCAAAAUUGCAUGUUAAUGUGAAUCAGAACCAAGUUGGAAAUUGGGAUAUGGUGUCGGCUGUGAGGAGCAAUAAUGUUUAUUGUUGUUGGUGCUUGAAAACAACAAGCAUAGUGAAUGAGAAGAGAAUCUGGAAAAGCAAAGAUUACAGAAUGACUUCGCUUUUCUGUUACUGAUGUGUUUGGGGGAUUCAGGGAAACCAAAACCUGCUAUAUCAUCAGUUGGAUAGUAGCUGAAUUUUAAAACAUAGAGAGGGAGAUGUCAGGGGGAUAAACAGAUGAAGUGAUGAUAUAUGAAGCACCAACAACAUAAAAGCUGGGAUGAUGUAAUAUGUAUGGCAUGAAUUCUUGGUAUAGAGCUGUGGUUUGUUGGGAUAGAACAAGUUUAUUAUUUUUAAAUCAAUAAAAAUGAAUUGUAGAUGAAGGGUUCAUCAGUUCAUCUUAUCAUUUGCAAAAAUUCCAAAAAGUCACUGCAAAAUCUCAAAUAUUUUUAAUGAUUUUUCAGUGCAGAAGUCUUGGUUCAUCUUACAUGACCAUUAACCUGCCUCCCACAUUAAGAAUGACACCCCUUAAACAGUGCUUCAGUUUCAUAUGUCAAGUUGUUAAUUAGCUUAUUGACAAAAAAAAAAGUUGUUGAUUCUUGUGGAAAAUAAAACUUUAUCCUUGAUGAUAUAUACAAGAUAUAACCUACUAUAUAAUAGAAAAUGAAGCUUAUAAUAAAUCAAGUUGGAAUACUUUAGGUUUUUAAGAGGUUGUUCAAAUGGCAUGCUGAUCGUCCAAGGCAAGCUAAUAACAACAGAUUGAAACUUGAAUUUGUAAACGUUGAAUCUUAUUGGAUUCGAACAGAUUGGCAUAUGGUCAGUUCUCAUCAAGGCAAAACCUAGGAGACCGUUUCAGAACAUGAACUUUAAACAUUUUUGACUAGUAUACUAGCUGUAUCGAACAAUUUCAAAAUUAUUAGGCACCGCCUGGUACCACAGUGAAGGACCUGGACUAAAUAGAGCGAACAAAGAUGAUAGUUAAAUGUUCAUGCUCGUUUUGUACGCCUUCCAACUUGAAGAGCCAACUCGGUAUCAAUCUUGAGGGAGAUGUCCAGAGCUUUAACAGAAUGUGUCAGUGCACCACUGCAAACACACCAAAAGCACUUCACAGACCACACCAACAAUACUGUAAAAUAUUCUACCAGUAUAUUAUCCCCAGCAACCCUAUUGCACUGAGAUGUUCAAAGUGCACUCAUACACUUGCAGAUUCGAACUUGGAUAUCCACUAACACUAGUGCAUCUGCGGUCUCAUUUUGCAGCAAUAUCACAGCUAAAUGAUUUCCUCAAUCUCACAGUAGCAGGACAGCAUAUUAUACCCAAAAGGAAAAGGACAACAUUUGCUUAAAAGAAUUCCACAUGACAGAUUAAGCAUCAGUCAUGUUGAACUUCCAAAAUACCUGUGCUGCCCAUAUAGGUUACCAUGAUAAUAGUUAAUGGUUUGAGACUAAGAGGAGCUGUGUCAUUACCUAGAAAUGUAGUCCACUCCAGUUUGUCCAAUUUUAUGUACUGUUUCAAGAGUGACAUUUCCAGAUGCCUGUAGCAGUGGAAUAGAUAAGUCAGAAAUUAAAAGGGACAGGAAGUACAAAAUCAAUUUAAGCAAUUAGACCAUAAUUUCACAUUCUGAAAUAGCCUUGAGUAUUCUAUGGUAAUUCCUUAGUUUAGCCUAAGGGUGCAAGAGAGUUGUUUUCAAGCCAAAAACAAAAAAACAAAAAAAGAAAGAGUGAGAAGUGAGAACUGCUUAUCAUAGAUUUAAAGAAUGACGCUUCAAAAUAAGAGAGUGAUAUAAAAGAAAGAGGAAAGAGAUUAUAAGUUAGGUCUGUGGAUGAUGAUGAGGACUAAACAUCCAUAAUCAGUCCAGAGGAGGUGCAGACUAGGUGACAACUCUUGUUAUGUCUAUCAGAAAAAAAAGGGUGAUAACUCUAUCAGGAAAACCAUUAUUAAACUGUAUAACUAACUCUAGGCUACCUCUGUCUCAAAUCUCCGUUUAAUCAAAUUCACGGCUUGUUCAAGCAUGCUGACAUCAACAUCACCAUUUGAUAGUGGUACAACCAUAUUAUCCAACAUUAUCCGGGUCAAGGAAGUCUUUGUUCUAGAUGCAUAGUCCAACACUUGGUUUACUUCCUCAAUUGUCCGGGUCUCCACCUGGGAAUGAAACCAAAUUUUAAUAACCAUAGUCCCUAUGAAAACUGAUCCUACACAUGCCAUUGGUAAACAUUAAUGAAUGUAUCAGCGAUGGCAAAUAGACAGAGACCAUCUGAGAGAUAGCGAGCUAAACAUUCUGUUACUGAUUGCAUUAAAUUAUAGAACACAGAACGUGUAAGAACUUGGCAACAACUAGGAAUGUUGUAAACAGGAAUAUGGAAACAUUACCUCAACCUCCAUCUGAAGAUUCCUUUGCUGAAGAUAGAGGUCUACAGACUCGAGGGCAUUCGUUAUGCCUCCAGCUAUUGAUAUAUGAUUAUCUUUUAUCAUUACCAUAUCAAAUAAGCCCAUUCUGUGAUUUUUACCACCACCAAUGAGUACCUGCAACAGCAGUUUUAUACAAAGCUGAUAAAAAAUAAAAAAAUUGUAUGCCACUGGCAAGAAUGUAUGCGGUGUGUAUCUUGAUGUCUAAUAGGAGCAAAGGAAAGAUCUAUACCGCCCACUUGUCUACCAAACGUAAACCUGGAGCAGUUUUUCUCGUCUCUAAAAUACAUGCAGGGCUUGCAAGAUCUGCCAUUGCCUGCAGGAAACACAAGUCCCUCACACAUCCAACCAAAAUAAUGUUAAUACACAUAGUAUAACUUAAGUUCUCAAUUUUUCAUUUUUUAUUAUUGAUAAAUAGAUAAGGUAGUACAUGAUAACCAAAUUAAUGACAAUCGACAACCUAACAUGAAAGAACUGACAAUUUCUCUUUUCAAUUAUGUGUCAUGAUGUUCUAUUCCAGUAUAUAGAGGUAAGAUGGCAAUGUUCUGUUAGGGUAUCAGGGAUUAAACCUCUAUCAGGAUAUAGAAAGAAGUAAGCAGUUUCUUUACAGAAAAAAACUAUCCUAAAUCCUUUUAAUCAACAGAUACAGAGAAAUUUAUAACAGGGAAGUCAUACUCCACUCUGAAUACCAUGCCGGAGGCAUGGUAAAGUCCAGACCACUUUUUUCAUAAAGGAAGAGCUACAAUACGUAUUGGUCUGUGAUUCUUUUAAUGAAUAGAUAAAUUUGAUCAUGAAACUCUUCAGAGUUCUGAACCAUCCUGCAUAUUGAAAUAAAUGAGCACCCAUCUUUGUAGUGACAUUCCCUUGUUAUGUGUUCAACUUGUAGCUUUAAAUAGUAUCCUAGCUUUCGAUGUUGUUCCUUAGAAAAUAUAAAAAGGAAACAACUGUACCCUAGUUAAAGUUGCUACUCCACUCAUCCUCUGCAUAAAAUUCAGUACUACCCUCUCAGCUAUAACAAUGCUGUGUGCUCUUCCUGCAUAUGAAUCUGUAAGACUUCUUAAGAAAUUUUGAAAAGCUUCUAAAAAAUUUCUUCAGAACCUGAGUUACCAUAAACUUUGCCGAACUGUAAGCCUUUAUGUAUGGAGUCUCCAUCCUUUUGUGACCACUCAACCUGUAUCAACAUGUAAACCAAUCAUGCUAGGACACCAACAGCAAAAACAUUCAAGCACACAAAAUGCAGUGCUUCUGUACCUUCAGAGUGGGAUCAACUUCAUAAAAUACCAUCUCUGCAAGUGCAAUUCCGGCAACUAUACCAUUCUCCUUUGCCAAGAAGUGGGCUUCAACUUCCAUAUCAGGUGGAAUGGUAGCCAGACAUGUCACAUCGCCUACAAUUAAAGCAACAAUCUUGCUAUAAUAUGUUUUGAACAGUAAAACAAGUCUUGAACAUCUCAACUUUCAAGAAAACCAAAUUAGAUUUCAACCUCGAUCCCCAGCGUCUUCAGCAAGGGCUGACUUGAUGACACCCGCUAGAUCAUAAGUCGGAUGCGAAGGAGGCUUUAUCGGUAGGGAUUCAAAUGACAAACCGGGCCUUUCAGCUUGCGUUGCUGACAUUCUAAUAAUCUGCCUGCAAGGGUCCAAACAAAUCCACACACUCCAAAUCAACAGUCUAAUAUAGGGCUAUGCCACCAAUGAUCAAAAUAAGCACAAUUUCGGAACAAAAAACAUUACGGCAUUUGAACAUGUUUGAAUCUCUCAACUACAAUCCACUCCAUUAACUAAUCCCAAUCACAGAGUUUCUUCUAUGAUCACAUUAUGGCAAUAUUCUUAUGUACGUCACAACAUUAUCACCAUUAGCCAGAGUAGCAAUCACACUCAGGAAAAACUCGCCAAAAGCAUAUGCUAUUAAAUUAUCUAUCUUUACAAGGAACAAACACACACCAUACUGAACUGAAAUACACUGAUGCAAUUGGCAGAGCAUAACUAAUACACUCAACUGAAAUUGGGUACCUCAAAGUUGAUAACUUUAAGCAAAAUCUUCAGACUUUAAACAAGAAAGAACGCAAUUCCUCUUGAAUUACAGUAAAACUAAAGUGACCAUAAAAAAUUGAGUUGGAGGCUGGAGGGUGUUACCUGAUUGGAGAGCGCAGGCGGGAGGUGAAAGGAAGGCCGUAGAGAAUCCCAGUUGGCGGGUAAGCUCUGCACGACUUUUGCAGAGGGAAAGAUAAAGACGAAGAAGAAGAGGCGGCAAAGGCCAUAUCCAACCCAAUAAGAAGUUUCAGUUUAGUUCAGGGCUUUCACUUUCGGUCUCGGUACUAUCCAACUCCAACCCAACAGUGUCACAGUUCCCAACUUCCCACAUUUACCAUUUUUUUUUCUUUUUUUUUUUGUAAAAAAUCGUGUGCUAGUUCACAGUCCUGGUAAAAAUCAUGGUUUUGUGCUUUUUAAUUUUUUAUAUUUUGCAUGAAGCUUAUGGGAUUCACUUUGGUUAUUAUUUGACUAAUACAAUCACAUCCAACAUUAUAUGUGGCCGACCAAGUGUUUUGGUUGUUCGACUAAGAGAAAAGUAGCAAAUGUCAAAUGUUAUUGGAGUCUAGGUUGAUCUUAUGUUAGCAUGAAUUAUAACAUCACAUUACAAUGAUAUUGUUUAUAACGAACUUUAUGAAGUAUAGAAAUGGACUAAACAUACAAAUUGUUGUACUGUUCGAACGACUCUGGCUUUUUACUCUUCAAGUCCUCUCUAGUCUCUACUAUAGUUCAGGUCCUCUCUACUAUAGUUGGUGAAGUGAAGGCAGCCUGAUAUAUAAUAAACUCUUACACUGCAGACGUGGUUUAGAGAUGGUACCAACUUGUAUUGAACAUGGUAGUAGUAUCAAUUUAAAUCUCUCUAAUAUUGGUUCAUUUCCUUUUCAAGGGAUAUCGGUCUGAUUUCUCACACAUUUGUUUUGAGCACGUGAUGGAUUUUGAUUCAUUCAAAAUUGGAAUGCAUACAAAUAACAUGAUUUUAUAACGCAAAAAUCCAAAUAGUGACACUGAAUAUAGUCUAUGGACUAUAAUUAAGGCACCUGCUUCAUAGUUCAUAGUUUACAUCAGAUUACGUUUCAUUGUAUACCAACUAAGACUAGACCAGACCAUGAGGGCUAUGGAUAUGGCAAUAUGCACCGGUAGGAAUAGCAAACAUGAGAUGAGGCAAGCCGGCACCCCCGGCAACACCGCCGGAAGAUUAAUGCGCUGCCCUGUCCCCGCUUGCCUCUAGGCUUGUGCAGCACUCACCUAUAUAUGGCGCUCUUCUUCUGAGUUUGCUGUGAAGUGUGGACUGUACAUUUUAUUUAGUCAAAAACUCAGGACGCCGUUCAUACUCUUGUUAAUGUGGAGGAGCAUCUCUUUCAUUUUCCCAUUGUUUUUCUUUGAAUAAAAAGAUGUGUGGUGUUAGUGGCAGCGGUAGAGAAAAACCACCAAAGUACUUGAAAGCUGUUCAAUAUUUACGGUAUGUUUUCUAAAUUGGCUGGCUGCAUUAGCAUUGACAAUCAAUCAUUCACAGCAUUAGAAUUUUAAAACAACACACUGUGAUUAAAACAUUCAACAAAAAGAGGCAAUAGUCAUAUUGGUCUUUUAUAUUUAAUCUUAUAAGUCAGAAUUUCUAAUAGCCACAGUCCAAUACAUACGGCAUCCUAUUCAACCUACACUCAGCUCUCUCAAUCCCAGUCCACAAUCAUUGCCUAUAUAAAUAGAUUCUCUCCACUUUAAACCAAAAGCUCUUUAGUUUGCUAACUAAAAGUAGUUAGAACUUGGAUAUCACCAUGUCGUCGUCAUCAUCUCCAAAGAGAUUGUUAAUGGUUUCUGUUAUCUUUGUGCUUCUGCUUUUGGGAAUGGCUUCAGUUGGAAGUUGCAGCAGGCCUUUGAAGAAUUUGAAGGAAAAGGAAGUAGAAAGCUUGAUGAAGGCUAAGCUUCCCAGAGGGCCAGUGCCUCCUUCAGGACCUUCUUUCUGUCAUAACAAGCUCAGCCCCACCAAGAACACCCAGUCUUUUACUGAAGAUUAUAUCAUCUGCCCAUGAUAACCAUCAUGUACAUCAGUACAUAUACAAGAACUAGCUAGGAAAAACACUACUACUUCUCUCAGUAUGUUCAUUCCAUAUUUUUGUUGACCAUCAAAGGAAGAUAUAGAACUCAACCUUAGUUAUUUCUUCCUCAUUCUUUGUAAUGUCCUUUUUGGUCUCUAAGAGUCUGAACUGUCCAUAAUAUUAGAAUUCCAGAUAGAAUGUAAAGAGGAAUAACUUUCCAUUCCCAAGUAUAUUCUUGUUAACUCAUAACAAGCUUUUAUCAGUUUUAUGGUAAUGCUAGCUGAUAACUUAAGUUGCAGUCUCCUCUGGUAUUUGAGAAACCUGGCCAUCGAACAAGCUAAUUCCACCCUGGUCAUCGAUCUAAUACAAAAUCUACCAAUCAGCAGCAAAAGGUGGCAUCAGAUAUUAGACAAACUAAGCAAGAAGCGAAGCAUGCGUGCUUUACUAUAAGCAAGUUUAGAGAUCUAAAUUGCAGUAUUUAUAACAGAAGAAACGAAAAGAAAAGCAAAGAAUUAAAUUCAGUUUACCCCCAUGAGGUUUGGGAGUAACUUCAUGUUAAUUCCUAUACUUUCAAUUUCAUCAGUUUACCCCUCAAACUUUUGAAUUUUCCUCAAGCGUGACCAAAUGUCCUAUAUUCUGUCUAAAUCGAACGUUAAUUGCUGAUAAUUUUAACCUUAACUGUGAGGCCAGGAUCUAGAAUUUGGACAAAUCGGAUCUUAUAUGUCCAGAUCGGACCUUAACUGCUGAUAAUUAAAGGUCAAUUCAAACGGAAUAUGAGAAUUUGGGCACGGCAGACAGAAAUUGAAGAGUUCAAGGGGUAAACUGAUGAAAAUAAAAGUGUAGGGACUAACAUGAAGUUACCCCCAAACCACAAGGGGGUAAACUGAAUUUAAUUCAAAAGAAAAACUAGAGGAAGUUACCGAAAAACAAAGAACUAAUUUCAGUUUACCCCCAUCAACUUUAGGUCGAUCAUCAUGUUAGUCAUUCUUCUUUCAAUUUCAUCAAAAACACCCCUCAACUCCCAAUUUUCAUCAGCCGCGCAUGUCCAAACCUCCAAUCUUUAUCUAAUUCCUCUGUCAAGUGAUGAUUUGAUAUUAAAAAGAAAGCCAAAUUCUAAAAGUUACAUUUCGGACCAUUUUUCCCUCAUAUCAAUACACAUCUUCGUUCCCAUCACAACCCCCUAACCUUAGUAAUUUUGGUGGAAUUGAAUGCAAUUUGUCUAUUUUUCUUUUUUUCUUUUGUCUUGAUAUCAAGUCAUCACUUGACAGAGGAAUUAGAUAGAAAUUGGAGGUUUGGACAUGCGCGGCUGAUGAAAAUUAGGAGUUGAGAGGUGUUUUUGAUGAAAUUGAAAGAAUAAUGACUAACAUGAUAAUCGACCUAAGUUGAUGAGGGUAAACUGAAAUUAGUUAAAAAACAAAAGUACACUAUUGCUUCACCAAAUAUAUAAUGUAGAGACAAUUCGUAGAGGGAUAAUCAUCUGGGACAUAUCUAGACUACCUAAAAUUCAUCUCAGAAUUUUACAUGAAAUUGAGAUUGCACACAGAGCAACCAUAUGAUGCCACCAAAAUGCAGAUACUAAGAAAGAAAAAGUCAUACCAAAUGCCUAACUAGACUCAGACUUAUAUAUAGUACCCGUCUCAAUAGCUAGCUAAGCAAGUUUGGAACAAAGAGCCUGAUAGAAAUAUUGUCCCGUGACAUACCAAUUAACAACCUCAAUCCUCUUAAGUGCACUUGUUCCAGGAGUAAAGGCAGUCAAAACAAAAUCAUCUAGAGCAUAAGAUGUUAUAAUAAAUUUUUCCUUCUGUAAAUUUUAAUGGUAGUCCACAAAACUUUGGAAUAUCAAAUGCUUUUGUCCAAGACUUUAUAUCACCAUAUUCAAAGGAGAAGGACUGUCAGAGCGAAUUAGGGAGAGACAGCCUCCCAAAGUUCCCCAGCUCGUAAUAAGCAAAGGGUACCUGAAUCUCUCGGAAUCACUCACUUUCAAUGUCGAAUGCACCAAUCAAACAAGCUGUCUGUUGAAGAUGCCAAUGGAGGGAACCAUUAAGGGUGAGUUCCUCAGCUUAAUUAUGCUGCCUGAGUUUUGGUUUUCUUCUUCUUCUUCAUGGUUGGAUCAGGUGUUCUCAUAUGAUAUUAGGGUUUUCAAUCGACUCCCUGUACGUAAUUAAUUGGAUAUAUAUUACGGAAGUACAGUGAUUGAAUUUUAUGGGCUGGACUCCACUGUUGCCUACGGUGCAUUGCAUUUGUGAUCUUCACAAAUCACAAGUUCACAACCACAUUAGCAAACGAUAUCGCGCGCGCACACUCGGUUGUUAUCGAGACAUGUUUCCAAUGAGCAUAUAUAUAUACAGUUAGGAUCGAGAGUGAACGUCCGUGAAAAUGUUAAAUCCUUUCAUAGGUUCUUUCAUUUUCAUUGGGUCCCUCCACUCAUGUCUCCUCCUCACUCCUUUGUGUUGAAACCUAGGAAGAUGAAUCCUCUCUCUUGAAACCCAGAAAGAUGAACUCAGCUCUAGACCUCUACUUCCCUUUAAACUUCAUCCUUAUCAUUCUCUAUUCCCUCUAUAGUCAUAUACUUCCAUCGAAAAAAAAAAGAAAAAAAAAGAAGAAGUCAUAUACGAGUUCCCUUAAUCCUCCACCAUUCUCACAACUUCACAAGGCCAUCCCCUUCAACACUCUCAAACUACAUAUAUAUCCCUAAUCUUCAGCGCUUCUAAAAUCCAAUAGAACAUUCAACUAACAAAUACCAUAAGCAAACCCACAAUAUUAAUUAUCCAUCAAAUAGAUAGAUUUCCACAAAUUCACUCAAAUUCCAGUUAGUCAAACUCAAUCGGAGAGCGAAUAUUAAUUAAUCCAAGCUGAAAGACUGAGAUCGAAUUUGACACAAUCACACAGAGGCAAUCGGGGAAAAGAUUUGGGGAUAAGCAUAGGAAAAGCCGGUGAGAGAAGAGGGAGGAAGUAUAUGAAAGGAGCAGUCGAAAGCUCCGUAGUUUGAUGUAGAGGAGUGAGGAGGAGAUGUGAGUGGAGGGACCCAAUGAAAAUGAAAGAACCUAUGAAAAGAUGACACGUUUCUGUCCGCAAUUUAACAUUUUCACGGACGUUCGCUCUCGAUCCUAACUGUAUAUAGAUAUACAAAAUAUUUGUCUUAAUCAAUUUGCUUAAAUAUGUGAUCUAAACCCAUGCCACUAAACUAGUUUUGGAGCGUUUAAAAUUGACACUUGAAGUCUCCUUAGAUUAUUCCUGGAUCUGCAAUCGCUUGUUCUUCUGUCUUUCUCCAACUAUGAAUAUAUGCUCACAACUAUAAGAGCGCUGAAGUUGAAAGCCAUCCAGUCCUGACCAGGAAAGUUUAACCCUAUGUUAAAUAACUUAAACCCUUUAUUCCAUCAACAGCUCCGUUGUAGUCUAGUUGGUCAGGAUAUUCGGCUCUCACCCGAAAGACCCGGGUUCAAGUCCCGGCAACGGAAAUCCUCUUUUCGUUUUUUUUUUUAAUUUCGGAAUUUUUCUUUUUUCCAAAUUAAGCAAACCGAAAGUUCAAAUGCUCAAGUUUUUUUUUAAUUUCGGAAUUUUUCUUUUUUCCAAAUUAAGCAAACCGAAAGCUCAAAUGCUCAAGUGGACCCUUCAUCAUGGAGUUCAUGACUACAACAUUGGUGGCCAUAGUUCAAUGGAUCCUAAGUAAUGGGGAUGAGUGUCUGUAUCAUACAAACUUACAAAGAGAUGUUGAAUUGUUGAUGGCAUGGGUACCUACCGUUGCCUGUCGGUGUGUUCAGUUUGUAGUUUAUAACCUGUUUUCCUUUUUUUCUUUAGCUAAAUCUGGUUAUAGUUCCUCACCCACUCCUUUGUUUCAUUUCCAUACUUAAACAACUAAUGGUUUUUUGUUUUCACUUUCUACUUCUUGAUGAGUGGAGAUUAACAGGAAAAGAGUUACAUGAUCGAUCAAGAAGAAGAAAGAGAGAUCUGAGAAGGACAAGAGGGCAUAUAUAGCUAGUUUCAUGCAGCUCAUGCAUGUGUUAAUGAAACUGUAAACAAAGUACGAGCUAUCCCAGUACUACCGUAUGUAUGUACGUGUAUGAAAGAUAGUAGAUAUAUAAACGUAUGUAUACAUAUUGCAAGUUCUUUGGGAUAUAAAAGCAUGUUUUUGACAUGUAUACUGACGGUUCUGAUCGAUAGAUUUCGAAGGACCAGCCAGUUUAUUAGCUUUCUGGCCGGAGAUGUAGACCCAACAAACACCAAGAAGAAAGGAGUUAGUUAAUGACUAAUAAUGUAGUUGGUAGGGUUGUGUUCAUGAGGGGGGUUGGUACGUACUACAGUUUCAACCCCGAAAUCCAGCGAUAUAUACUAAUAUCAGAAGUCUCUAGUCCCUCUUAAAAAAUAAGAUCAGAAGAUCGACCAGAACGAUGCAUUUUGUCAAUUUGUGGACACCUAAAUGCAGUUUACUUUCUAAUCACGCAUAUAUUAAUCUAAUCUAACCUUGAUCGAUGUUCUGGGUAUGAUCGAUCAUAGAGUCAUAAUACAGAAUCUGAACUCUGAAGCGUACAUUCAGGUGAUGGAUCUGUUAUUGUUUAUGUUUUAACAUUUCUAAACAUAGUACGUGGGGAAUUGGAUCGAUCUCUUAUCCAUCCCGGCCAUCGGGAAUUGUCUUAUACAUAUAAGAUUGAAAUCAGUCUAGCUACAACAGUAAGUAUCGACAGUCAGACACAAAAAUCUACCUGCUUGCUUCUGACUGAUUAAUGCUUCAGUAUGUCCAACAAGCUAGGAUGGAGGUAUAUUCAGUAGUACGUGGAAUACUCUAAUUCGAAGGGGACUUUAGGAAUGCAGCAAAGUAGGAUCGCUUGUAUAACCCGGGUUUAUAUCUCCGAUCUCUCGGUGAAUAACCACCGGAAAGUCAAUCACUAUUCUUUAACAUUUUCAAAAGAGCGUUCUACUAGUAGCUAGCUAGCAUAAAAUAUGAAAAGGCCAGGAUCUAUCAUCUAUGCAUCAAGCAGAUUCAAGAACCUUAUGCACUGCAACAAGAUAAUGACUAUCUAUCGACAAUCGGAGAUCAACUUUGUCCUUGGUGAUAUUUAAGCAAAUCAAAUUAUCAAGUUCAAUGUUCAAUGUCCAAUAUCUAUAUCUUAGUUGUCAUUUCAUCACACAUAUGAUGCACCACUAUUGUAUUCGUUUCCUCUCUAAUAUAUAUGUGUGUGUGUGUAUACAUGUAUAUAAACAAAUCGUAUUUGAUCUAUUGUCAUGGAUCAAAAAAGUUGAGCUACGUACUAUGGAUGUCAAUGUUUUUCCAAUGAAACUAGAAAACACAGUAUGUAUGUUUUGAACGUAACCAUUGAUAAGAUGCUUUAAAAACCGACCGGACUAAUUGUUCUCAAACUCUAAAUCUGAAGAGACAUAAUAUGUGACAACCAUUGACUAUAGUUGUCCUAUAGUUCUGGACUUGUUAUGAUUUGUGUGGCUAGAAUAUAUUCACGUCGAAAACUACUUCUCUUUUACACAACUUUGAUUUACAUUGAGCUACACCAUUUAAUUAGUGACCAUCGAAUUUCGUGAAAAAAAAACCCUAGCCUUCAUAAUUUAGAACAAGGGCCGAGAACUGACUUGUCAUAGUGUAGAUCAGUGUCACUUACAGAUGAUAAUUCGUUCACCUUCGUACUGAAUCUUCCACCAAGUAAUUAUGAAAAGUCGAAAAUGAUUGACAUGUAUGUGCUUGUUGGUGAAAGUACAAACAGAUUCACAGAUAGAUCAAUCUGGAAAGCAAGGUACGUAGCUCAAACCACAAUGUCUCCCGGCCACUAAAAAAAUGAAGAACCGAGAGAGGUCAGGGAGAGAGAGACAAAGAGAGCGAGAAUAAGGAAUUAGAGAUGGUAGAUACGAAGUGGAAUCAUCUAUCACACUCCUCGUUUGAUUUGCCUCUAUCAGCAUUUCAGAACCACACGAGCGCAGCUAACCUCAUUUCUCUCUUCUCUCCCUCUGCCCUAAUUUCAAACCCUUAAUUACUUGUACCACAUCCCAUUUCCCAGUUCUGUAGUACUCGUCAACUCUCUCUAUCCUAUCUCAUCUACUCUCUCUCCAUCUGUUGGCUGUUGCUUAACUACGUAAUCCUAGCCUCAUCUCCAUGCGUGGAUUCAUUACUCUAUGAGGAAGCCUGUGAUGACCAGCCGAUCACAGAUGACGACCAAACCAUCAAAAAACGGAAAAUAUAAAAAAAAAACAAAGAAAGUUAAAUAUGGAAAUGUAAAAGUCAGAAAACAAAGAAAGAAAAUAUCAGAGAGAGAGAGGUUGUUAGGGAUACUGAAAUACACAUGCACCCGUGAGUCAAUGCUCCUUCGCACGUGUCAAGUAAAUAUUUCUGUAUUUCCCAAGCUCGAAAGCUGCUUCAACGGCCCCUGGUUCAGAUUGACAUUUGUUUUCUAUCCUCAUAUUUGUUUCUAUAAAUUUAGGCUGAUCGAGUUGAUUAAAUACACAAUCAGCUUGCUCUCCAUGAACAUGGAGCUGAUUACAGUCUCUCUCUCUGCCCAGAAGGGACAUGUUUGAGGUAGUUACAAUUCUUUGAUUCCAACCUUGUUAACUCAUCUUCUCUGCUAGAUUUGUUUAGUUACCUAUAUAUAAUAAGUCUGAACUAUUCUGAUCAGCCUUUUAUGAUUUACCUGCUUUCAGAUUGAUCGAUAUAAGAAGGUGCUUUAAUACCAGAUAGAGUUUAUGUAUAUGGGGUGAGUAGAUUCCAUGCUAUGCUUGUCAUGCGAGCAGUCCUCUCUUGGGUUAACCUUGCUUUCGUUGUCUGUUCGACCUUGAACACUAUUUAAUUGCAUAGAAACCCUAGCAAUUCAUUUACAAUUGGAUAAGAUUACAAAGAAAAUUUUUCAGAAAAAUUCACUCAAAAAUUAAUGAACAAAACGAUCACUCAUUUUCUUUUCUUUUUUGAUGAAUUAACCAGAUUUUGUGUAUGCGUGUGAGUUUAUAUGUUUAAUUGAGUCCCUUCAGAAUUUCAUGUCAAGUAAGGUGACUAAGGUCAUCCAUGAAAUUCCUGUGAUAUAAUUUCUGUUUGCAUGUAAACAUAUGUUUGCAUGAAAAAGCAUGUAAACAUAUAUAUGUUUGUGCUAUGUAUGUUAAUUUAUAUGUACUUUGAGUGUUGUUUGUUAGGCAUAAACGUACGGUAGAUGUGUAGACAGAUACAACCUUCUAGUCUAGAGCUCUGAUGUGAAUUUCAGGUGUACUGAGAAUUCGCAAGGGGAAGACAUUUUGAUUUGUUGGAUAGAGUAUUAGAGUAGUGCUGACAUAAUAAAGAGAGAAUCUCCAUUCAACUUAAUUAAGAUUCCAGGGUUUAACAGCUUAAUCAGUACGUUUUAACAGCUUAAGAGAGAAUCUCCAUUCAACUUAAUCAGUUUUAACAGCUUCCCUGAUUAGCAUAGGAGUCCCAAACCAUCAUUAUAAUACAAAACAGAAAGGAAAUUAAUACAAAAUACAAAAUCUAACUUGAUGAUCGAUUAUAAAUCUAAUUUCCUGUAAUGUUUCAGUGCCUAGCUUCUGUAAUGUUCUUACUGUAAAUAAGAAACGGAAAGUUCUUAGCGUCAUAAUGCAUGUUUGUUCUUAAGUUUUUAUCUAUUUUCUAAUAAUGUUCUUUAGUUCUUAAGGCACGUACAAUAUAAUCAAAUCACCUAAUGUACUCCCAGUAUGCACUUAAUUAUACGGGUCUGUCCUUUUGUUUUCUUUUAUUCACAUGCAUCUACGUACGAUAUAAUCUCUGUGGUCUAAAUUGCAUUCACAUGGCCUAAGCUGAGCUAGGUUCCAAUGAUCCCAGCUCAUCAAUUAAAAUCAUGAAUAUACCAUGAAAGUGGGAGCUAGCUAACUAAGGAUACACAUACGUAUAUGUAUAUACGUGUGUCUGUGUAAGCUGAGGUAUAACCGUAUAAAACGAAGUAAUUAGAAUGUAUGUUAAUCCAUCGAGUUCAAGGUUGAUCUGGCAAUGAAUGUGAGGUAUAUGCAAGGGACUGUUCACUCGACAAGGGUUUGCAUGGAAUUUGACACCCCGUGCCUUCGAUCAAUUAGUACUCUACUACUACUACCAGCGCGGUCACCUGUUUUAUAAUCCAUACCCUACAAUAUAUAUAUGUUCCAGAUUGAGGUAUUCCGGAGCUCUCUCUCUCUCUCUCUCAAAACAGGUCAAUAGUUUUUGCACAUCUUCUUUGUUCUUGUUGUAAAUCUUCACACUAUAGUUGUCUCUUGAGACCGUUACGAAUCAUAUAUAGUUAUCGGUCUUAUACUCUUACAUAUAUAUAUAUAUAUAUAUAUAUAUAUAUUUAUACUCCAUGAGUGCUUGUUUAUGUUCUUUCUGUUCAUAUUCAUCAGUUAUUCUUAAUCCAGCCACUGUUAAUGCAUACAUUAAUUAGCAGAUAGCUAGUUUGUCUGUUCUAGAACAUACAUCUGUACUUGUUUGUUACUUUGUUUGUAGUCACUAAUGUCUCUUAUAUAGGAAAAUAGACCAAACGGCAAAUUAAGUAAGAGAUACCAAAUGGCUACUGGUAACAACAGAGUUGAUCUCCAUGCAUGCAUGUCUGGCAUGAAAUACAAGAAAUCUGGAGGUUUCCUGCAGCCUGCACAAGUUUUCCUUCAAAUGCAAGUAACGAUGAAACUAUUCAAUGCCCGGAUGAAGCUAGUAUGCGGAUUUAGAAGAGUAAUUGUGAAACAAAUCAAGUCAGAAAGUUCCCAGCAGAGAGCUAAGUAAAUUGGGUGUAUACAGUAGCUGCUACAAUUGCGUCUCCGAAUCCUUUCUAUCACGAUGACUCUUUGUUCAGAAGGACGUACAGAUUCCACGCAUAUAAUGGAUAAUGUAAACAAAAAUACAACAUAUAUACCGUAAGUAUCGAUCAGCUGUAGGAUUUAUAAUUUUUCUUAAUAUUCAAUGCAUGAAUCCCAGCAGCCAAAACAAAAACAAAAACAAAAACUUUCCAACAUACAUAGGAUUUGUUCUAGUAUCAUACUAUCAUAUAUAUGGAGGUGGCGCACAACUCAGCUAGGUUUACAACAUAUUAAAAUAACAUAAUUAAAGCCCAACGUAGGAUCGAUGAAGACAAUUAUAAGAGUCACUAGUCACUAGGGUAAUGUAUCCCAAGUAUUCAAUUAUAAUCCAGAAGUAGACAUGGGCAUGGGUCCAUCAUGUUAAAGAUUGAUACAAGAACCCCGUUGGAGAAUGAUCGAUCUUAAUGUAACAGUAAAUUCUGAAUUGAUCGAAUUAUGAGCAAUCAAUAAUCUAGCUAGCUGUGAUGAUAAUAAUAUUUACCAAUUAGUCAAUGAUUGUCACGUACGUGUAAGAACAACUUGAACAACUUGAGAAGGAAUGAAAGCUCUUUUGCUUCUUAUCUCUUUUAAAUUACAUUAUAACCCUAACCUAAAACUCAUUAUAUAUAGAAGACAGAGCAUAGAUCCCUUUGCACCAAACUAGCUACGCCGGCCUCUUGCUCUCUAAGACCAGGUUCUUUCCUCUUCAAUUAAUCGCUACUUCCUUCGUGGCUGUUAUCAUGUUUGUCCUUCAAUUAUAUAUGUGUAUGUCUUUGAUUUUAUCUCUUUCAGAUUGAUUAUAAUUGUCUGGAAGUCCCAGCCGGGAAGAAGAAGAAGCAGAAGAAGAAGAAGAAUCCAGGACAGAACAAGCCUCAGUUAUGAUCAUAUUGUGGAAGUUUUCACGCGAUCAUAGAAACGAAAGAAUAUAUAUAUAUAUAUAUAUAUAUAUAUAUAUAUAUAUAGCAGGAACGACGAAUACAAGACCGGGUGAGUGGAUUCCAUGCUAUGCUUGUCAAGUGAGCAGUCCUUUUGCAAAUUAGUCUUAGUUUCGUUGUCUGUUCGACCUGAAUUAUGCCUCUAUAUAUAGGUCAGGUACUAAGACAGUAAGACUAGUUAGAUUCCUCAGAAACCCUAAUUUUAGAUCGAAGUCAUGUGGUAAAUACUAGAUCAGCUUCAAGAGUACGCAUGCCGGAUCAAAGUUAUAAUUCCCGAUUAAUUUUAGGUAAGUUUUCUAGGUUUUUAAUACUCGAUUAAGACAGAUGCAUCUUGAAGCAAAGUCUGUUUGUUCUGACCAAACAUUGGUGGUGACAGGCUUUUCUUCGUGCGAUUGCAAUUUAUUAGGAAUCUACCUGCAGCCAGCAUAUAUUAGAUCCAUUAGACAGAAGUAGUUGGCCAGUAAAAGUAGGAAGACAAGAACAAAAUUGAGAAAGGAAGCAAGAUGCGGGGUUCCCGGUUCUUUAAUUUGAGUUCUCCAAAACCCUAAGAAAGCCAGAGCUAAGCCUUUUUUUUUUUUUUUGCAACUUCUUUUGCCUCCUUCUGCAGAUUAAGGUUUAAGUUUAUGUUCUUGUCUCUUGGUUCAUUGCAGUGCGUACAGUUAAUGGCUAUUUACUUAGAAUUAGUAAUACAUACACACCAUAAGAUAUAUAUAAUUGAAGCCUUGAAGGCGACCUUCCCCGAGAAUGAGGCAAUUGAGGGCCAAGUUCCUCGAUGACGUACACCUUGCAGCUAAUUAAACUAGCCAGAUAUUAUUUUGUCAAUUAAAUCGUACAUGUUUGGUCAGAUAUUCAGUAUACAGAUACGUACAUAUACAUUCAGGUCUAUAGAAUGUUAAUAGUUUAGGUCGAAGAGACAUCGAAUCUGGGGUAUAAGCAGAGAGACUGUUCAUUUGACAAGGGUUUGCAUGGAAUUCAACAUCCAAUUAAUAUUACUUGAUCGAGUUCUCUGCCUCAUUUCUUCCGACUUCGAUUCAGAGUCCUUGAUCUCAUCCAAAGUUGCCUGAUUACUGAAGCCGUGCAUCGCAAAUAAGGUAAAACUGUCACCAGCCUAUCUCCUACUCUAUAUAUAUAUAUGAUAUGCAUAUGUUUCCUGCAGCACCUGCUGUGACAAUUGUAGGAAGCGGGAGCACCUGGAAUUUCACCAUAGCUGAGGUCGAUAUAUAUGGCGGGCAGCCGGGCACACACGAACAAGAGCUACGUAGUUCUCGAUCUCUAGGCUAACAAAUACAAUUUGUGUAGUGGUCACACAAACUAAAUGUUUGAUAUGAAGUCGCUCUUCUCAGAAGUGGUCUGCUCCAAAUAGGUGGUGUAUUACAGAUUAAAUGAAGAGCAGAAGAGGAGACCGGCCUCCUAUGUAUGAUAUAUAGACGACGUCUUUCUCCACCCUGGUGCAGCAUCCCACAACUCCACAAGUCCACCAAAGAGCUAGAAACUAACUCAUCAUGCCCUAGAUCAUGCAUGAAGGAUUAGUUCCAAAACAAGGACACUUAAAAUUUGAGCAUGAAUAGAUCUAUCAUCAAUUUCUAGUUUGCCUACAAUCCAUCAUGGACUGUUCCAAUUCUUCUUCUGAAUACUCAUACAAAGAAUAUUUCUAGAGAGAGAGGCUACUUUUUUUUUUUGUCGGAUGCAUUGCUUUGCAGUAAAUGAAAAUCGAAUAACUUCAGUUCUUCUGAAUACGCAUAAAAAGAAUAAUUUUUCUUUUAUGGGCCAAUUACAUAUAAGUCCACUUUGAGACAUUUUUUUCUACAUAGAUCCACCCCAACAUUUUUACCCACAUAAGUCCACCCAAGUCUAAAUAAGGUUUUGUAUUAAGUAUUGAAGUUCAACAUAAUUACAGACUGCCAUCCAACAAAAAAAAUUAGAUUUUCUCAUUUAUAUUUAUAAGAAUGUCAUUAGUAUAAAAAGUCAACAACCACUCUUAUUUCGGAACAGUCUCCGGCGGACCUCCGGCGAGAUUUCCAGCGGACCUCCGGCGAGGUUUCCGGCCGACCUUCGGCGAGGUUUCCGGCGAAGUUUCCGGCCGACCUCCGGCGAGAUUUCCGACCGACCUCUGGCGAGGUUUCCGGCCGACCUCCAACGAUGACAAAAAUUACUACUACCAGCUAAAAAAGCUACUACCACCAACUACAAAAGCUACUACCACCGUCUACAAAAGCUACUACUGUGAGGUUUCUGAUGAAAACAAAAGCUACUACCACCAGCGACAAAAGCUACUACCACCAGCUACAAAAGCUACUACCACCGCCUACAAAAGCUACUACUGUGAGGUUUUCGACGAACACAAAAAACUACUACCACCAACGACAAAAGCUACUACCACCAGCUACAAAGCCAUUACCACCGCUUACAAAAGCUACUACUGUGAGGAUCCCGAGGAACACAAAAACUACUAUCACCAACCACAAAAGCCUACUACCCACUAGCUACAAAAGCUACUACCACCGCCUACAAAAGUUACUACUGUGAGGUUUCCNNNNNNNNNNNNNNNNNNNNAGAGAGAGAGAGAGAUAUCAACAGGGAAUUGGUAGAGCCGUUUUUUUUUUGUAGGGAGUGAUUGGGAGGGUAUUUUUAGUAUGAAAUGAAAGUAAGAUGACGAAUCUGACCUUUAAAGUGGACUUAUAUGGGUAAAAAAAUUAAGGUGGACUUAUGAAGGAACAAAUGUUAGAAAGUAGACUUUUAUGAAAUUUUCUAUUCUUUUAUUUGUCGGAUGUAUUGCUUUGCAUCUUUAUAGUGCUAUUUCGAAUCAAAUAUUUGCAAUAAAUGAAAAUCUAACUUCAGUGCUUUUGAAUACGCAUAAAAUGAAUAUUUCUAGAGAGAGGCUCCUCCUUCUCUCUAGAAAUCUUCUUCUAUAUCUGCCGGUUUAAGAGUCCAUCCCCAUUCCCAUCCUACCCACUCCACCCACCACCCCUUCCCCGAUCACCUUUACCUUCAUCCCCACCUUCACCCAACCUCAUGGAUCGACCAGAUCCCCUUUUCACCAUCUACCAACUCCAUCUCCUUCCCUUCAUGAGAUUUACAGAGAUGGAAUGAUCUCUGUCCAUCUCCACUCCUACCCCUUCUCCAUCCCAUGUCUCCUUCUUCUCCACAAACCAAACUAGCUCCACCAUUGGAGGGUUUCAUCUACGACGAGUUCCAUAUCCACUCUUUUCUCCACCACUAAGCAAGCUUUCGCCCGUUGGCGAAUUCUUGUCCAAUCUAAAGAGGUUGUUCAGAUUGCUUUGACAAUCACUGUCUCUAUGGUUACUUGUGAGUCAUGAGUGUGCGUGUGUUCCAUCCGGCGGAGAAGGUGGUGCGAUGUGGUUUUACGGUGGUUGUUAUCAUUCAUGAAUUUGAUCGAUUUUGGCAGUGGGAUAUUGCGGUAGCAGAUCUCACUGUGGAAGUUUGUUUGGAGUUUAGGGUUUCUAAUUUUUAGUUAGGCUUUGCUUUGUAUCUGGGUUAGACCUAAUGUGGACUUUUAUUAUGUAUGUUGGGUUUGUGUGUCUUAUCUGUUGAGCCUAUGUGCCUCUUUUGCUGGGGCCUAUGUGCCUCUUACUCUAAGGCCUCUAUGUGUCUCUUUGUGAUCUUUUAAUAGAAUUUUCUAUUAUGACACACACAAAAUUAAAAAAUUAAAAAAAUCUUUUUCUUCCUUUUUCCAGCAAUUAAUACAAUAGGGAAACGAAAACAAACAAAUGUACUCCAAUAUUUUGCUCAUCUGAAAUCCUAGCUUUAUCUAAUCAUUUUUUUAGUAGUAUAUAUAUAACAGCCGUAUAUUAAACCUCGAUCGAUGCAAAAAUCAGAAAAACAUGUAUAGAUUCUAGAAUCACAAGCAACCUCAUCAGAGAAACAACAUAAUACAAUUUGAUAAUCGGGAUUAUUAUUGUUUUAAGUGUUUCUUUAAGAAUUAUCUUUGUGAAAAAUCAAGUAUACAUGUCAAACUCGGCUAACAAAUACACUUUGAGUAGUGGUCACACUCUAAGUUUUUGUUUUUUAGUAAUUUAAAAUUUAUCUUCAAUAAACUUAUAAGAAUUUAAACUAAAAAGAAAGAGAGAGAAAAGAAUGGGUGUGAAUUGUGAAUUAGAGAGCGUGUAUUUCAUUCUAUUUCGUUUAUGAUUGAUGGCAUACGUUCUACCAUGUUCUGUCACCUAACAGACUGCUACAGAGGAGCUGAUAUCGCCUAAUAUCCUUGUCAGUAAAUUAUAAAAAAAAUAAAAAGGUUUACAACCUAUAAAUUAUUUUACAAAAGUCGACCUAAAAGUUUAACCUAAAAUAUGAAUAGUGUUCUAUCAAGUAUCUAAUUUCAGCGUGUGUAAGAAGACCGACCUCAAGUGAUGUUUAUAUUUCCUCGGUAGAUAAGGUCGACUUCCCUCCUCUACCAAUGAAAGCUUUUCACAAUCAAGUUUUUCUAUAAAUUCACUCUCAAUCGAAAUCAAAGAUAAAACAGUCAAUAUUGUUUGGGUCAUGGUAUCUAGUCCCAACCACAUAUCUUCUCAAUUGAAUUAGUCACCAUUACGCUCACAUGCAUGAUUGGAGUAAUGACAAAUAUGGUGAUGGUUGUGUUCUUUAACCAUUUAGUGAUAUUCACAUCAAUCACAGACUUUGAAACUAUUGCAGUAUUGACAAAGAAUGAAAGAGGGAACUGGCGGGACGCCAGGAGAUGGGGAGUAUGAGUGAAAGAAUGUGUGGUCACCGCAGACUGUGUUGUUGCAUCCCAGUGGAAUCCCUAUAAAGUUUGUGUGUGUAAGUAAUGGCAAUUCAAAUGAAGAUAUUAUUGAUUAAGGACAUAUAUAUUAUAGAUAGAACACUCACCAUCAUUUUCUCCUCAUAUCCUAAUAUAACAAGUUUAUAUAUUUCUUCGCAACGAUUUCAAGUUCUGCCUCCCUCAUGACUAUCUUAUAUUCGACCUUACUUUUGAAUGCUUUCGCGACAUAAGGAUCAUUCUCCUUCACUAUCACAUCACAUCAAUCAAUAUUAAUAUAAAGAAUUAAAUUCAGUUUACCCCAUGAAGUUUGAGAGUAACUUCAUGUUAAUCCCUAUACUUUCAAUUUCAUCAGUUUACCCCUCAACUUUUGAAUUUUCCUCAAACGUGACCAAAUGUUCUAUAUUCUGUCCAAAUCGGACGUUAACUGCUGAUAAUUUUAACCUUAACUGUGAGGCCAGUAUCUAGAAUUUGGGCAAAUCGGACCUUAUAUGUCCAAAUCGAACCUUAACUGCUGAUAUUUAAAGGUCAAUUCAAACGGAAUAUGAGAAUUUGGGCACGGCAGACAGAAAUUGAAGAGUUCAAGGGGUAAACUGAUGAAAAUAAAAGUGUAGGGACUAACAUGAAGUCACCCCCAAACCAUAAGGGGGUAAACUGAAUUUAAUUCUAAUAUAAAUAAAUAGAGUUUGGAUUAGUCAAAUUGCAUAGUACAAGAACACAAAAAACUUUAUUUUUUCUAUAAAAAAUGUUUAUCACAUAACUCACUAACUCACUAGUUCAAUCUCAUCAUUGGUGUUGGAAAAAACUACAUAAACACAAAAACAAAAAUCAAAUGAAGAAACGAAGUUUUCUACCCCACACCUAAAUCCAACAUUGUCCUCAAUGAAACAUUUAAGCAUGGAUGAAGUAAACUAAAUAAAACAAUUACUAGAACAAAAUAAGUAAACACAAACAUAAUCACAAAAACAAGAACACAAACUAAAUGCAAGAGUUAGAAAAUCUCCCCCUUGAACAUAAUGCUCUCCACAUCACCAACAAUCAAGACAUCAAAGCAUUUCAAUUCAAACUUACAAACUUUGGUGUUGCUUCAAAAAUGACUUCCUUUCUUCUUCACCUCUUAUUCAAAUAUGUUUUAUUUAUGCUUGGCUACCUCUAAAUAAGGCUUUAUUUUUAAUGACUUCUAAUCGGUACUUAGAAGUUAUCACCACUUGCUAAGGAAGAUACUUCUUCUUCUUUUGCAAGACCACCGUACUAUAUAUUUAGAGCUAAAAGACUUCUUGAAGUGUCAUAAAGGGUAGGGAAAUGAUGGCAUAUGCUAGAGUAAAUGAUGCUUAAAGCAUGGUGAUGAAGCCUACUAACAUAGCAUGUUUUUGUUGGAGAUUAUGAAGGACUAAUGGGCAAAAGGAUCAAUGAGCAUGGUGUGGAAAAAAAAUGGAAAUUGAUGGAGUUGUUUUUGAACCAAAAUGUUUGGGAUUUGGUUAUAAUGGAAUGAUGGUGAAUGAAUUAAUAAAAUGAGUGGAAAGUCACACCGUCUUCUUGCUCCUCUAUACAUAUGGCUAGAAAAGACAUGGCACCACCGUGAGUGGUGGUGUGCCCCCGCUACUUGUGCCACCAAUAGUGGUGGUUCGCCGAAAUCUGUAAAUUUACGUUCUGCUCCACAUUAGAUCGUCAUUCAUUUUAGCUCCAAUUCUCCAUAUUAAUGCCAAAAAUAAAUGUUUCUUUCACUCUUACAAUAUUCUAGAUAUAUAAAAAAGAAUUAAAUUCAGUUUACCCCCAUGAAGUUUGGGAGUAACUUCAUGUUAGUUCCUAUACUUUCAAUUUCAUCAGUUUACCCCUCAAACUUUUGAAUUUUCCUCAAGCGUGACCAAAUGUCCUAUAUUCUGUCCAAAUCGGACGUUAACUACUGAUAAUUUUAACCUUAACUGUGAGGCCAGUAUCUAGAAUUUGGGCAAAUCGGACCUUAUAUGUCCAAAUCGAACCUUAACUGCUGAUAAUUAAAAGUCAAUUCAAACGGAAUAUGAGAAUUUGGGCACGGCAGACAGAAAUUGAAGAGUUCAAGGGGUAAACUGAUGAAAAUAAAAGUGUAGGGACUAACAUGAAGUCACCCCCNNNNNNNNNNNNNNNNNNNNAGUGAAAAUUUUGUGGAAACUGCAAAUUCAAUAGAAGAAAAAAAAUUCACUGAAACUAAACCAGCACAAUGUAUCUAAAAAUGUAAUGCUGAAUCAUAUCAGAUUUUCAGCAUUAGAAGUUCUUUGAGGAUAGUACUGACCUCUUUCUCUGUCCAGCAUCUUGAAGAUCUGGUUGGACCAGUGGUUCUCCUAGAACAAUUCAAAUGAGCAAUUAUCAUAUGAAAGCAUAAAACUGAGCGAGCCAUCCAAAACCAGAAAAUUGAAGAUUAUAGAAAAUAGAAUUAAAUUCAGUUUACCCCCAUAAAGUUUGGGAGUAACUUCAUGUUAAUCCCUAUACUUUCAAUUUCAUCAGUUUACCCUCUAAACUUUUGAAUUUUCCUCAAGCGUGACCAAAUGUCCUAUAUUCUGUCCAAAUCGGACGUUAACUACUGAUAAUUUUAACCUUAACUGUGAGGCCAGUAUCUAGAAUUUGGGCAAAUCGGACCUUAUAUGUCCAAAUCGAACCUUAACUGCUGAUAAUUAAAAGUCAAUUCAAACGGAAUAUGAGAAUUUGGGCACGGCAGACAGAAAUUGAAGAGUUCAAGGGGUAAACUGAUGAAAAUAAAAGUGUAGGGACUAACAUGAAGUCACCCCCAAACCACAAGGGGGUAAACUGAAUUUAAUUAUAUAAAAAAUGAUUUAAUGAAAGCUAAAAUAAACUCAAAAACAAGUUAAAGUCAAUAUAUAAGGGAAUGCAAAUAUAUGUAAAUUAUGAUCUAACACACCAACAAAUCAAACAACAUGAAUUCAAUUAAGAAGCUCAAAACCGAAACACCGAAAAUUUGGAACUCAAAACCGCAAAGGCACGAAGCAACAUCAAAAUUCAGAGAAACUAAAUCCAUAUCAAAUCUCAAAACCUAGACUAAUCAAAGCUAAUUAAAAUGGAGUACAAAUAUAGAAACACCCGGACAAACUAAAUUCACAGCUACUAUCAGAAAUCAUUCGAAUAAAAUCACAAACUAGACUAUCAGAGAAAAGGAAUAUAUUAGGAUACCUCAUUGGCGGGUAAAUUUAGUAACAACAAAAAUUUAGAGGGUAAAUCCAUACAUCCCUCAUAGUUCAGGGGCAAAAUACAAAAUCACAAUUUCUAGUUUCUAAAUUUGAGUAAUUAUUCCCUAUACUCGGGACACCACGUGACAUUGUCAUAUAAUGUACUCAGCCAAUUAUAUAACUCAGAUUCAUGUGAGGGCAAACAGAGGUGGAAAAAAAAAAGUAAUUAAAUACACCAAUCAGAAGUAAAAAUAAAACACUUGGACCAAAGGGAAACAUAAAACAUGUGGUAUUCCGGAUACAAAUAAUAAUAGGGAUGUGAAAUCCACACACCACACCUCAAAUUGAAAUCCACACACCAUUUUUCUUUUUUUGAUUAACACAUUCACUUAAAAAAAAAAAUUUAAGUCACUAAAAGACAAAAUUUAAAUUUCGGGUGUGUGAAUUUCACGACCGUAAUAAUUUCUCUCUAAAUGUAACCCAUUUCCGACGUUGCCUUUUCAAGUCUUCAACUCGAACAACUCGCUUCGAGUCUUCAAACCGUUGAUACUUUUGCCGGGGAAAGAUGUCGUUAUCUAGUCUCAUCGGCGGUGCACUUCCUCCUUCAGUCGGAGAAAACCAGCUGCCCACAAAACCGUCGUCGCUGACAACCACAAAACGAGCUCUUCCUCUUCAGGUGCGUUGGUUCACUAUUUGUUCUCAUAUUAGAUUCAAGAACACCCAAAUCUCUUACUUAGGAUAACGUGCAUAUUGUGCUGCUUUUAGCUUCUCUAAUUUCUCAUGUGAUCUAUUUUGCUUCUUACGAAUGGAUUCAACCUCUUGACGUGAGCUCAUGUUUAUAGCAAAAACCCACUUCGGUUGUUGGAUUUUCCUUAAAUUAGUUUCUUCUUAUUUGGGUUUUUUUUUUUUUUAUUUUUUCUUGGGCUUAGACUCUUACCGGAAUCAAUGGAGGAUUUGGGGAAGAAUUGCAUCGAUUCAUAUCUUGUACAGUAGUAGACUAGUGGGUUCGCAAUUACUGAUAGAGGAAAGAAGUUCACUAUAGUGUGGAUGAGUUUGUUUGAUGUAAGUUGCUUGGUUCCUGAAUUAUGUAGAAUCCUCAAUAAUGCAGAUGAAGGGAUAUGCACUGAUCAUGGCACCUUAACGUUCACAGAUGGUAUUUAGGUUCCUUAGUUCAUCUCUGCGAGGAUUUUGAUAGUGGAUCCAUAUUUUAUUGGCCUGCACAUUUUGUACAUUUUUCCAUCUGUUGAUCUAUAGCUUGUCCAGCUUAAGAGUAGAUUAUGUAUGAUGGUAGAUAUGCUUUACUGGAUCCAAGCUUGCUGUAAUGUGCUGAUACUGAUCUGAAUCAGAAGUGCCAACUGACAUUAGUCGCUGUGUUUAGACUUUAGAAUGGAUAUAGAAAGCCAGAUAGUUUACUUUGGCUACUGAAUUGCAGUGUUACAGCUAUGAUCGAAAUCAGAUGUUUCGAACACUUGUAUAGUCAGUUGGCCACCUUGUUUCGUAUUUAAGUCUCCUCAACUGUGUCAUAUUUUCAAAGGGGAAAAUUUUGCAGGGUUAAGUGGUUCAGUUGUUUCAGAUUAAUUUUGUGACAUGUCAUGAGCCUGGAGGAAUAGGCAGAGUAGGCUACUUUUGGGAAUGCAAAUACGCUUUAACCUGUACUUACUAGCAUCGUGUUUAACAAUCUUGAUAUUGCGGUGGACUCUGAACCCAUUGCUUCUAUAGUGAGAUGCAUCAUUAUUUAGCUUCUUAGUUUGUCAUUCCAAAGCCAUUACUUCCAUCUCUUCUUUCUAUCUCAGAGCUCGAGACAUGUUAUUUUAAUUUUUCUCCCAGAUGCAUAGUUAUGUGACUUAUUUGUUCGUCAUUAUUGCAGGUGAGAAGUGAGGGAAGACCGGAAUCAUGCCCUCCAAAAGUACUUGGUGUUUCACGAAGAGAUGUGAUGCUACCCGCUGCAACACUAGCAGCAGUCACUUUUUUCUCAGUCGAACCUGCUGCUGAGGCACGAAUCGUCAAGCCUGAGAUUAGGAGGAAAAUUCAGGAAAAGCUCAAGUUGCUGAGGGAAAAGGCCGGCUUAUCAGAGCCAAAAACCAAUCAAGGGAAACAGCCAGAACUGUCUUCACCACCGGCACCUGUUCCAAGUCCUCAAGUAAGCCCAAUUAUACCACCUGUGGAAGCAAUAUUCCCUUGAGAAAUGAGAUGGUAAUUGAUCCCUGUGAUACACAUAAUUACCUUAUCUAGUUCAAUUUUGUGUUUACUUUCUGUGUGGAACACUAUAACUCAAUCUUCACUUUUGAUUUGGGACAACAAGCACAUCUUACAUAACAGAAAAACUAAGUUUAUUGUUACAAAAAUAAGCUACAAAAAUGUGAAAAACUAGUUGGUCUUUUUGUUCAUGUUGCCAACAAGCUGGCGCAUCUGAAACCUCCAGACCAUGAAAUAAGCCAAACCCAAACCAACCAAAACAUAAAUCCAAACAGUCUCUUCCUUGCUCUCCUUCUCCGACCUCACCUCCGCUAUACUAAACAUCUCCCUCUCCGAAUUCCCCGCCGUUCCCUCGAGAAAAUGCCCGUAUAUCACAUACACUCUGUCCUCUGCCGCCACGGCCACUGAGGUAGGAAACCUCUCCACUUCAAGCUCAGUCUUGUCAUACACCACACCCUCUGACCAGUUGUCUUGGCUCUUAAGAAACCACAUUUUGUUCGGAGAAUUCACCACGACGUCGCCGUUUCUUCGCAUCGCAAUGCCGUCUGCCAGAGGCAGGUUCUCCGGCAACAGAACCUCCCUGGCGGUCCCGUCCUCCGCGUCCACUUUGAACAGCUUCCCAGUGUUGGACUGCACCACCAGUAGAUACCCCUUGCUGACGUAAGCAAUGCCGUUGAGUCCGCAGAAGCUGAACGGCGACUCGGGGUCCACAGGAUACGCCGAGAAGAGCGGAGACCUGGAGAAGAUGGAGGCGUCUCCUUCGGAGUUGACUUUCCAGAUGAAGUUGGCCGCCGCGUUGGUGACGUAAGCGUUGCCCUUGAAAUCCGCGGCGACGCCGUUGGCGAUCUGGCGGGAGGUGUCGCCGUCGGCUGAGGGGAGGGGCGUGAGGAAGAGGCGGCGGCGCGUGCGGAGGUCGUAGGCGGCGAGGGCGCUGAAGGGAGGGAGUGGCUCCAUGGCUUGGACGGCGGCGAGGAGGCGGUUGUUGACGGUGUCGACGGCGAGGCCGAGGAAGGUGACGUUUUCUGGGAGGUCGGUGUCGGAGACGAGAAGGUCGACGACGCCGGCGUCGGAAACAGAAUAGAUGGUGCGGUGGUGUUGGGCGCCGACGAUGAAGUGCUGGGCGGAGGGGUCGUAUGCUAUGCCUUCUGGGUAGAGAUUUGGGGAUCGGAAAUUGAUGACGUGAGGCUUGUUGGCUUGGGUUUGGAUGGGGAUUGAGCUCAGCAAAACGAUAAAGAGGACUGAGAAAACAAAGGAGGCGAUCGGAGAAGAAGGCAUGAUGUAUGUUGUUCAGUAUCGCAUGCUCAACCGGAGAUUUAUAGAAGCAAGAUAAACCAGUGUAUUCCUUGCCAAGAAAACUCUGGAGCUUGAGCCGGCGGAGUUUGAUUUCUUGUCAAACGGAGAAGGACGACUAGUUUCAGAACUGUUAAAUCACUUUCCAAAAGAUGCUAUAUUGGUAUUGGUCCAUGAGAAAAAAAAAACCCGGCCCGCCUAGCGUAACAGUCCAAACCCAAAUCCAAGUUGGGUCUAGUCUUGGGGCCUGCUGCUCUUGUUGCCUCAAGUGUUAUGGUAUUGAACUCUUGGUGCAGGGACAACACAUGAUAUUAAUAAAAUUUAUACUUUAGUACUCUAACUUAGUGCAUGUUUGGUACUCGGGACUAUAUUAUAUCUUUUUAUUUUUAAGACUGUCCUGCACUUAUAUAGGGUGUCUUAAGUUGUACUAAUAUUAACCCAUGUUUAGUGUUGUAUGGGAUUAGAUGGGUAGUUUAUUUGGUUUAUAGUUUAGAAGGAUGGUGCUAUCUAAAGACGACAUAUUUGAUUACCCACAAUAACACCACUUAAGAAGGCCAAAAUGAAAACAAAGUGUUACAUAAGCUCAUUUAUUUUAGUACCCAGUGACACCAAAUACGGUACUAACUACACUAGACUGUUUUUUUAGCACUGUCUCAUUUAGACCCAACAAACAAACAUACACUAAAUACACACGAGUGGAUGGUUAAGAAUUAUGACUUAAAUAUACGUACAUGGUUGUUUAAAUAUAUAAAUAGCUGAGAUUGCAUCGUGUAUACUCACACGUUAUGCAUACAUCCAGCGUCGAUCUCAUCAGCCACUAAUAAACUGAUUGGACUUUUAAUAAUCGAUUGUUUGUGAGUACGUGUAGAUACAAAUCGUAUACUAAACAUGGUUGGUCUUUCUGAUUUGCAGCUACUUGAAACAAAACUUGCUAGUGGAAAAUUUGAUGCAACAUUGAAACAGAAACGUGUGAGCUCUAGAUAUGCACGUCUCUGUUUUCACAACGCGUGUCACCACAGGACUGAAAUAUACGAAAUAGUUGCCGCCGAUAGGUAUGACUUUCUUAAUCCGGGAGACCGGGACCCAAAGGCCCAAACCCAACAAAGAAUAAAACCCUCAAAAAUAUCUGCACCAUCGUAGAACAAGUACAAUCACACAUCAUUAAUACAAGUUUCUUCCGGAACAUUCCGGAUGGCAAGCACCCAAGAUAUUUUCUUCUCGGCUUUCAAUAAGAUUCUCGAAUACACUACCAAUACUUAUAUACCUCACACAUCCAACCCUAUCAGAAUCAAGCCACCGCCUUAACCCGACCCUAUCAUAUAUAAAUCUCCCAUACCAACCUUUCUCUCUGAUCUGUUAUUCCAUUUCAAUUCUGGUCAUCAAGAAGGACGUACUUGUGGAAUUGCUGAAUCUGUGGUAUUUGAAGCUCUGAGAAUUUGGGAGGGUGAAGCCUGAAGGAGAUGGAGGCCGGGUCGGCUUCGUAUUACAGUGUUCUGGGAGUUGAUUCAGAUUCUUCUACGGAAGAAAUCAAGCGCGCUUAUCGGAAACUCGCCAUGCGGUAUCAUCCAGACCGGUGGACAAGAAGCCCUUCUUUGCUGGGGGAAGCCAAGCGAAGGUUCCAGGAGAUUCAAGAAGCAUAUUCUGUGUUAUCGGAUCAGAGGAAGCGAACAAUGUACGACGCAGGGUUGUACGAUCCCGAUGAGGAAGAAGAUGAGGUACGUACUUUGGUAUCGAUCAGUUUCUAUUUAGAACUAAUCAAGGUGUUUGGAUGUUGCUGUUUCCUAAUUGAUGUGGUGAAUGUAAUUCAAAGCAGGGGCUGUGUGAUUUUGUGCAAGAAUUGGUGUCUUUGAUGGCGGAAUCGAGACGAGAGCAGAAGAGUUAUAGCAUGGAGGAUUUGCAGGCAAUGUUCAUGGAGAUGGCUAAAGGAUUCGAGUCUUCUUUUGGGUACUGUGGACCUAAUUUUGAGCAAGCUCAUCAAUCUGGGUGCGCAAAGAGGACGCGUCUGGAAUCUAAACCAGGCAUCGACACAGGCUCGACUAUGGGGAUGUAUGGAGGACGAGGAUUCUUUUCAUUUUAGAGAAGUAGGCUUUGUUGAUGAUGAGAGAAUCAAAUCAAAUGUUUUUAAAUUGUAAUUUGUAUGAAGUUUUGAAAUCUGAGAGUUUGAGUCAUCAUUCCAACUAGACGCUUGUGUUUUUGUAAAAGUGUUGUUUUAAAGGUGGGCUUGACAACUAUAGAAUCUCAAUGUGGGCUUGUUUUGUGACACUGAUGUUGUGGGUGGAGUUCUAGCUAGUUCUACACUAUUCCUUUUCUAGUGGCAUGGUUCCAAAUCCUUGAAACUUCUACAUUGUUUUUUUCUUUGCUAGUGUUAUUAAACAAUGGCUAACUUGGAUGAUAAUUGGAACAAGGAAAACUACAGCGAUGAUUGAUUUAAGGAAAGAAGGUUCCUGGGAGGAAGUUGACCCAGAUGGAAAGCAAUAAUAAGCUUUAAGAAAAUGGGACGGUGGCCUUUGUAACCAAUCCUCUUUACAGAGACGCGUGUAGAUAUUCCAAAUACCCUUCAAUCUGUUCCCCUUUUCCUCUUCAUCAGUUUCUUCUGGCGUAAGAACUCUACUACUAAUCUAACAACUAAAUGACUAAUAGCAAAAUCACACAAUGGAAUAAUGGAGCAAAAGUAAAGGGUACCUCACGAAGACAAACAAAGGUCUCUAUCUUUCUUCUCAAAGCUUAACAGAGCGUAAGGGAGGUGUCAAUCAUCAAAUGCAAGAGGGAAGUGUCAUGUCAUUUGGUUAUUGGCUAGUAUGCGUUGGAAAUUGGAAUAUCGUAAUAUUGCUAGGACUGCCUUCAAGCAAGGACAAAUUGUGAGGCCUAGCUUCUUUCUUCACUAAUUUUAAUCGCCCUUAUCAUGUUUAUCUCAAUUGGUUACUUGCAUAUAAUAAUAUGCCUGGUUGCAUCAGUGGAGCUUCAAAACAAAUACUAAUGCAAAAACCAACAAAACAAGACUUGUGAGAAGGAAUUUGCAAUAAAACUACCUGGGCAAAGUGACAAUAUGAAUUAGGCAAACCCAUCAUGUGAUACAACAUCAAGAACUCCUCCAAACCACGACUCUUACCUUUGGAUCAUGUCGGAACACAUUUCCCUGUCUAACAUUCUACAUGGUUAUAUCACUUAUAUGUUUCAUGCAUUCAAUACGGAGUAAAAAACAAAAUUGUAAAUGCUUUAUUUAUUAUCUGAUACAAAUUCAGGAUAAGUCAAAUAUCUUAUUUCUUAAAUUUCGUAGUUAACUCGUGAAACUUAACAAUAAUAAUAUCGUUUUGACUCAUCUAUAUUUGUUUAGUAAUCUAUUUUAUCAAUUUCAUAUCUUUGUGAUUUACUGAUAUUGAUUUUCUUUCUUUUAAUUUUCACGUUGCUAGAACAACUACUAGUAUGUGUACAACCUAGAAACACAAAAUUCUGAAUUUCCAAGAGGGAUCAUUCCAAGAUCCCACUGACAUCGUUUGAGAAAGAAAGAUGCAAAUCAUCCCCCAAGUAAUGACUGGAUCUCCUAUUAAACAUUACACCCCGACAAAUAAUGCCAUACUUAAAGGUACAUAACUAAUACAUAGUGAUUAUUAUUUUUUGACUCACUAAUACAUAGUGAUUAAUAAACAAGAAGAGCAAUGUACAUACCCUAAAAUCCUCCAUCACAUACAACCUAAAAGAUCAGUUGAGUCGUAAUGGUGGAACCCGUGGAUUUGGACCAUCCACAUGCAGUGCGAUUCCCUUGAAGAAAAAGCAACACCACCCUCCUCCUCCUGUAACCAGAAAAAGCCCCUAAGAAUACGUCUUCUCUUUUAAAGAUACAUCGGAGAUAUCGCAGAUAAUUCAAUAUUAAUUAUUCCUUAAAAAAAAAAUCUCAAAAACUAACCCAUCAAACCCCAAAUUCAAAAAGAAAAAUAAAAAACCUAAACCCUCUCUAAUUACCCCAUUGACUCUCCCAUGCACCACCUCAUAACGUAAAUAAAAGCCUCUCUCACACACCCUUUCCUCCCAUUUUCUUCCAACUCUCCGCUCCUCUCCACCCAAAACACCAAACUGAUAAUCACACAGACACUAAAAGAUGACGCACUGCUUCAAGUUUCUCAGCCUGUUCCUUCUUGCCGUGGCCCUUUUAGGAGGAGUAGCUUCCGUUCACGCCCAAGACGGCAGUGAGAAGUGCGGUGCAUGCACCACUCCAAGCCCCCCACCGCCGUCUCCACCGUCGUCUCCUCCGCCGCCAUCACCGUGUCCUCCUCCACCGGCGCUUGCACCUCCAACACAGGAAAAUCCACCUCCUUCCCCCAAGAAACCUCCACCGUCUUCCUACUAUCCUCCGCCGUCGGGGGGGUUGGUUUACAUCACUGGUCCUCCCGGGCAGCUGUACCCUAUUGAUCAGGGCUUUAAUGGUGCUCAUGGAACUCGGAGCUCGAUGGGGUUACUGGCUCUGCUUGGACUCGUGUUGCUGGG